UUGCCAAUUGUUACUACUGGAUGUUUUAUAAAUGACGUUACUUUCAAAUUACGAAUGUGAUCGAUGUGCAAAUGAUUUGAUUUGUAUCUAUAUAUAUGUAUCUGUAAAGCUACGAGUACAUGGUCCGACAGAGGGGUAGUUAUUACCUACUGGGCGAUUUGUCGCUCAACCCACUUUUUACCAUCCUUGCAGAUUCUGAAGAGUAUGAGUUGGUUUACGUAGGAGACCCUGAGGAUGACUUUUAUUGGCUUUAAGUGAAUAGAAGUUGGCAGGCUAGCUACUUCUAGGUGUUAGUCUUAUUUAUUUUCAAUUCCGCUGUUUCCAUUAGAAAAUAAAUGUACGAACAUAUGGGAUAUUCGUAGACUACCUUUUUAUGUGAUUUGUACUGCACUUUAUUUUAGUUAUAUUAUUUCGUAUUUUUGAAGUUUAGACUAGUUAAAUGAUGCCUUGUAUUCUUGAGCGGAAUUUGAGAAUACGGCGGAUGCCACGUGACGGGCACGUCCGGGCUCGGGGCGUGACAGGUUCCAUGGAUGUUAGGUGGGAAAUUUAAUGUGAUUUUAGCAGCUUCGGAGAAGAGGGGAGGGGUGGCUUCUAGGGUAGGGGAUAUGGAAGAAGUCAAUAAUUGUAUGGCCCAGACAGGGGUGUCGAUAGUUGAAUUUGAUGGGUCCCUAUUCACCUGGACAAAUGGUUAUGUAUGACAGUGGCUAGAUCGCAUAUUUAUUAAUUCGGAUUGGGCUAGUAUGUAUGCUUCUGUUCACUCAACUUAUUUGUCGAGAGGGCGCUCGGACCACUCCUCUUGUUAGUGAAAUCUAAAGGCAGCAUGGUGGGACAUGGUUCAUUUCAUUUUCAGAAUAUGUGGAUUUCGCAUAGGAAUUUUUUGUCAGUAGUAAGGGAGUCAUGGGAUCAGCCUGUAAGAGGUCGGGGCAUGGAGGCAUUCUGUCAAAAGUUGGUAGCACUUAGUAGAAAGCUGGGAUCUUGGAACCUCCAAGCCUUUGGCAAUAUCCAACGGAACAUUCAAGAGGCUCAAGAUGAAAUGCAGUGGAUACAAAAAAUAUAUGAUCAGCAAGGCGGAGAUGUGUAUAGGUCUCAACUAAGUGAAGCUAGAGCCAGACAUGCUAGAUUAUUAGCCAUAGAGAAUGACUUCUGGAGACAAAAGGCGGCAAUUAAGUGGUUGAAACAAGGGGAGGCAAACACAGCUUUUUUCCAUGUGCUAGUUCGGGAGAGGAGGAAUAGGAAUUACAUAGCUAGAAUUAAAGAUGAUAAUGAUGGUUGGGUAGAAUCACCCUCGGCAAUACAAGACUCGACUGUGAAAUUUUUUUGGGAGCUCUUUAGUUAUUCGUCUGGAGUAAAAUGUUUGGAUGGUCUUCAAUUUCAGCUACCCAAGCUCUCCCAAGAUGAUGUGGAGAUGUUGGACGGAAUGCCGACGGAGGCUGAGGUUCGACAAGCAGUUUUUAGUAUCCACAAAAAAAGUGCGGCAGGGCCAGAUGGAUACUCGACUAUAUUUUUUCAGCAUUGUUGGGAAAUUAUUAAAAUGGAUUUAUUGGUGGUGGUGCAUGAUUUCUUUUCUGGGGCUACUCAACCCAGAGGUUUUACAAGCACUAUGGUGAUUUUGGUACUGAAGGAGCAAGGUGCGGUCUAUUGGAAGGAUUUAGGCCGAUAAGUUUGUGCAAUGUUUCAUCUUAAAUUUUAUUUAUUAGAUUGGCUAAGGUGUUGCUAAAAAUCAUCUCCCCAUACCAAACUAGUUUUGUACCUCACAGACAUAUUGAUGAUACUAUACUCCUGGCUUAGGAAUUGGUGCUUGAUCUAGACAAGAAGGUAAAAGAGCCAAAUUUAAUUCGCAAAUUGGAUAUGGAAAAAGCCUAUGACAGGCUAGAUUGGUCCUUUUUAAUGUUUGUGCUGAGCUUUUGGGUUUGGGGAGUAGUUUAUUGAUUUGGUUUUCCGGACGUUGUCCAAUAAUUGGUUUUCAAUUCUCAUAAAAGGAGUUAAGGCGGGUUUUUUUAAGUCCUUUCAUGGUGUUAGGCAAGGAGACCUGCAUCUCCGGCUCUUUUUCUCCUUGUUGUGGAAUUCUUGACUAGGUGGAUGCAUGAUUUAUUUGCAAAGGGUCGGAGGAUGUACUAUCAAUCUGCUAGUAAGCAUAUUCCGUUACUUUCAUUUGUAGAUGACACUAUAAUUUUCACUAGGUUGUCCAAGAACUGUUUAAAGCAGAUUCAUAAUUUUUUGGAGUUAUAUCAGCGUGUGUCAGGCCAAAAGGUAAAUACCGGGAAGAGCUCUUUUGUUUGCUUAUCUAAAGCAUCCAUGGCAAAGAUAAAUCUGGUCUCUUCCUUGUUGGGGUUUAAUAGAUAGAGGCUGCCUUUACAAUAUUUGGAUGUGCCUUUGUCCAAAGUGUUAAAAUGGCGUUGUCCCACAUCGCAUUUUGUAUAAGGGAACUUUUCCCUUAGUUGCCUAUAAAUAUAAUGGGCCUGUGAUGGGAUUAAGUACACCAAACUAAGAGAGUUUUAGUGGGCUAUUUGAUCAUCUACGUCAUCAAACCUUUUGUUUAGUAAAAUAUUUUGGACUCUCUUGUAUUUUAAGUAUUAGAUAUUUUGGGUCUAGGAACAAUUUUCUAAGGUAUUUUUGUACUCUCUUCUUCAUAAUAAAAUAUUGCUCCUUCUCCGCCCGUGAACGUAGGUCAAUUUGACCGAACCACGUAAAUUCUUGUGUUCCUAUUUUAUUUAUUUUUGCUCUGUUAUUUGUCUUUUGAGGUUGUCAAAAAUCUUUUCGUCAAUUUCCUGGAGCCGACCUAAUAAACUGGUAUCAAAGCUUCUUCAGAGGUUUUGGAUUUUGUGGCAACAAUGACAAUAACAAAGACUGUCAUCGAGAAAUUCGACAGGAAUGUCAAUUUCGAGAUGUGGCAACUCAAGAUGGAGGCCAUUUUGGUUCAAGACGGAGUUGAUCUAGCGAUACAGGGAAUUGAGAAAAAGCCAGAAGGCGUGAUAGAUGUAAAUUGUGUUGAGAUGGAUAAAAAGGCAAGGUCCAGUAUUAUUUUAAAUCUCUCUGACGAGAUUUUGCGGGAGGUAGCCAUUGAGAUUUCGACAAAGGCCAUGUAGGAUAAGUUUAAGACCUUGUAUAUGAAGAAGACAGUUGAGAAUCGACUUUAUUUAAAGCAAAGUCUGUAUAUGUUUCGCAUGACUAAAGGUACAUCUAUACUCUCACAUCUUGAUAAAUUUGAUUCCAUUAUUAUGAAUUUAAAGAAUAUAGAUUCAAAAAUUGAUGAUAAGGAUCAGACCCUAUUACUUUUAUGUUCUCUUCCCCAAUCUUUUAAAUAUUUUCGUGAUACUAUGAUUUAUGGAAAAGAAACAAUUUCGUAUCGAGAAAUUAAAUCUGCAUUAAAAUCUAAGGAGCAGAUAGAUAGGGAUAUUAUUGGGAAAUUUAGUGGAGGUCAGGCGGAAUGUCUGAUUGUUAGGGACAGAAUCGAGAAAAGAGAAUUUGACAAUAGUAGAUCUAAAUCUAGAUCUAAACCUAAACAUAGAAAUUUGGAGUGCAAUUAUUGUCAUAAAAUCGAGCAUAUUAAAGCAAAUUGUUUCAAAUUGAAAAAUAGAUUGAAACAAAAGGGGAGACCUAGUGAGAAAAAUAUUGAAACUGCCAAAACUGGUGUUGCAGCUGAUGAGAAUGAAGGAAAUAUUUUCUUUGUGAUUGAUGUUAGGACAAAGUCUAAAAAUAAAUAGAUUUUAGAUUUGGGGUGCUCUUAUCACAUGUGUCCUAAUAGGGAUUUAUUUUUCACUGAUGAAUCUUAUAAUGGUGGAAUUGUUUUGAUGGGCAAUAAUGCCGCUUGUAAUAUUGUUGGUAAGGGUAUAAUCUGAAUUAAAAUGCAUGAUGGUAUUGUGAGCACGCUCACUAAUGUUAGACAUGUUCCUAUUUUGAAAAAGAAUCUCAUCUCUUUGGACACCCUAGAGGCUCUUGGGUGCAAAUACACAGCUAAAAAUGGCAUUAUGAAGGUUUCUAAAGGUGCUCUCGUUAUAAUGAAAACUUGCAGGGUUGGUAGUUUAUAUAUUUUGCAGGGAUCUACUGUCACAAGCUCGAUUGCAGUUUCAUUAUCAUCAUCUUUGUCUGAUUCUGAUAACACCAAAUUGUGGCAUAUGCUUUUGGGACAUAUGAGCGAGAAAAACUUGGGCAUACUAAACAAAAGGGGACUUCUUUGCAGUCAGAGUACUAGGUCACUGGAAUUAUGUGAACACCAUCUUUGGGAAGCAAAAAAGAGUUAGUUUCAGUUCUUCAACAAUCCAUAAGACGAAAGAUACUUUUGAUUAUAUUCAUUCAGAUUUAUGGGAUCCAUCUCGUGUUUCGUCUACGGGUGGUGCCAGAUAUAUGUUGACUUUCAUUGAUGAUUAUUCAAGGAAAGUUUGGUUUAUUUUCUUAAACAUAAGAACGGUGUUUACCUCACUUUCAAGCAAUGAAAAGUUUUGAUUGAAAAUCAAACAGAUAAACAGAUCAAGCGGCUUAGAAUAGAUAAUUGGAAAGGAUGAUUUCAGAAACUUCCCUUGAGGUUUCUAACAAUUUUACUGAAAUAUCAUAAUAGUCCCCAACGAGUUUCUUUCUCUCUCAACUAGGGUUGGUGGCGGCGGCUAGGUUGCAUGUCCACGGCCAUGGAGGCCCUCCAGCCUCACGCUGGGGGCCAGGCUCCUUCAUCUCCAUCUUUUCUCCGCAAGUCCUUUGCUGCUUUAUUUUCAAGCAAUGCAGCCACGCCUUCGCUGUCCGUUCAGGCGACUCCCUCCACCCACAAAGGGGAGCCUGCGUUGAUAUUCUCGCAAAUAGCCAUGGAAAAGCUUGCGGCCCCAUAUCGACAUGCAUUGGUGGGCAAGUUCUCAAGGGGUAGACCGAAGCUAGAGGAUGUACGUGGUUUUUUGCGCAAGUUAGACUUGCGUGACCCAGCAACUGUGGGCUUGUUGGACGCAUGCCAUGUGCUGCUGCAGUUCCAUUCGGAUGCUGAUUUUCACAGAGUGUGGGCAAGGGGGAUUUGGUACGUUCAUGGACAUCCGAUGAGGGUCUUUAAAUGGACUCCAUCGUUUCAUGUAGAUCGUGAGCCAUCUGUUGUCCCGGUGUGGUUCCAGGUGCCCAAGCUGCCCUUGCAUUUGUUCCAUAAGGAAACGUUGUUCCAAAUUGCUGAGAUGGUGGGCGUGCCUCUGUUAGUUGAUGCGGCAACUUUGGCGGUUUCCAGACCUAGCGUUGCUAGGGUCUGCGUGGAGGUGGACUUGAUGAAGCAAAGGCCUUCAAGGGUAUGGAUUGGGACCGGACAGCAUGAUAGAUUCUGGCAGGAGCUGGUGCCGGAAAACCUUCCCCCUUAUGUUCCCACUGCUUCAGGCAGGGGCACACGGAGGUGGGUUGCCAUGUGUUGCACCCAGCAUUGAAGCCUGUCAAAGUGGGGGGAGACGGGGAGAGGCCUGGGCAGCCUGCUGAAGGGGGUAUUAAGCCCAGGCAGAGGCAGCGCGAGGUGGUGCAAGAUGGCACAGCGCUGGCUGCAAAUUCAGCAGCAGUUGAGGAGGCCGCAGCGACGAAGGUGUCCAGCUUGGAGCCUUCGAGCGGGACGGUAGCGCUGGUGGAGCCUCAAGCUAUGGUUGGUGUUAUGGUGUCCACAUCCCAAUCUGCUAGUGCUACGGCUGCGUUGGCUGAGCCGCAGACAGUGGUAGCGGUCGAGGUUGCUGAGCAACUUUCUGCGGAGGUGGUGGUGUUGGCUGAGAAGGAGUUGAACCAUGAGCAGGAGUUCGGCGGUAAUGGUGCAGUAGCGGUUGAAGGAUUUGAGGUGGUGUUGGUGGGAGGGCAGGAUUUGAGCAAGGAGGAAGAUGAUUACGGUAAUGAUGUGCGCAUGGGAUCAGCGGAACGGCGACCAACAGAGGCUCACAUGGAUUCUAAAGAUGUCUUGGCAGAAGAGGAAGAGCUUCGUGAGUUGCAGGAGCGGGUGGGUAAUCUUUCACCAAGAGGUGACUCUCACAUGGUGCCUGACGUACUAUCUUCGCUGGUAAGUGACCAUCAGUUGGGUGCACUGAACCUGGAGCCUAACGAAUUAUCUCUGGUGCGGCAAGAUGAGCGGCAGAAGAAAGGUACUAAGGUCAAUGCUCCGUCUAGUCAUAUUUUACACUCUAGAGUAAUCGCUUCACAAAAUUCUUGCUUAGCGUUAUCUGAUGAUUAGAUGUCUUUUUGGAAUAUUCGGGGUAUCUCUCGCGCCCCUAAUUUAAAAAGGUUACGCAAACUUGUUAAACUUUAUUCAGUAUCUUUGGUGGCGAUUUGUGAACCUAAGACAUCCCUACUGAACCUGGAUUCUAUCCGUGUGAAGGUGGGAAUGGACUUAGCUGUUGCAAAUCAAUCAGGUAGUGUUUGGAUUUUGUACAAUUCGUCGUUUGAUUGCUAUACAAUAGGAGAAUCGGAGCAGCACAUCACGCUGCGCGUGAUUUCCCAAUUAUUGCCUGAGAAGAUAUACUUUUCAUUCGUUCAUGCAAAGUACAUUGCCCAGGAGAGGGAAGGGCUAUGGGGAGAGCUUUUGCGAGAGAAGCAGGAGGUUAAGCCCUGGUUUCUGGUGGGGAAUUUUAACGUGAUUUUGUCUGUAGAGGAGAAACGGGGCGGCGUUCCUUUCAGGCAGGCUGAUGGGGUGGAAUUAGCACAGUUCAUGUCUUUAGCAGGGGUUGGAGAUGCUGGCUUCUCGGGGUCUAGGUAUACUUGGUGCAAUAAUAGGCAGGGUAUGGCUAGGGUUUGGAGACGGUUAGACAGGCUGUUGAUUAACUCGGCGGCUAUGAGGAUGGAAAGUGAUUUCACAGUACGGCAUUUGGGGAAGGAUCCAUCGGAUCAUGCGCCGCUUCUGUUAUCUGCGGUGACGAGAUUGGAUGGUAAGCCAUUGCCGUUCCACUUCUUGAAUGUUUGGACAACAAAACCUGGUUUCCUGGAUGUCGUUAAACAGUGUUGGUCUGGCUCCCUUCCUGGUUCGCCUCUCAAGGUUUUAUCAGAGAAGCUCCGAAAGACGAAACAAGCGCUUCGCCAAUGGUCUAGGAGUUCUUUUAGGGAUAUAUUCUUGGAGAUUCAGUCGGCGGAGCAAAAGGUGGUAGAGGCUGAACUAGCCCAUGAUGACAACCCUUCCGAGAAAUUGCUGAUACAACUACACAAGGCACGAGUUCGGUUACGCAAUGCUUUGGUGGUUGAAGAAGAAUUUUGGAAGCAGAAAGCUCGGGUUAAGUGGUUGGCGGAUGGUGACCGGAAUAUGGCUUUCUUUCAUUCUGUUGUGACGGAGAGGCGGCGAAAGUCUGUUAUUCAUCGGAUUCGGAGGACAAAUGGCGACUGGGUGGACGAUGAGGCAAGUAUUUGUAAUGAGGCCGUCUCUUUCUUCCAGGGUUUGUUUACAGAGGAGGUGGGAAGAGCCUCCAGUGACAUGUUGGAGGUCAUUCCGAGGGUUAUUAAUGAUCAGGAUAACAGCGGGCUGAGGGAGAUCCCUUCUAUGGACCAAGUGAAGGAGGUCUUGUUUUCAAUGGAUGGGGACAGUGCCGCGGGUCCGGAUGGCUUUACAGGGAAGUUUUUCACGGCUGCUUGGGAGGUGGUUGUUGAGGAUGUUCACCGUGCCAUAGAGAGCUUCUUUUGUGGCGCGGAGUUGCCGAGAUGUGUCACCGCUACUGCCAUUGUCUUGUUGCCUAAGGUUCUCUGCCCAAAGGAUUUUACACAAUUCAGACCGAUAAGUUUAUGCAACUUUGUCAAUAAGGCCAUAUCUAAACUCUUAUCCGUUCGACUGGCUAGGGUCCUUCCUCGGAUUAACUCGCCACAACAGAGUGGUUUCGUGCCAGGACGACAAAUGACGGAUAACUUUCUCUUAGAUUAGGAGUUGUUAAGCGAUAUUAGGAAACCCAACCGGGGAGGGAAUGUGGUGCUCAAGUUGGAUAUGAUGAAGGCCUACGAUAGGGUAUCGUGGCUGUUUUAAAUACAAGUCCUUCGGUGAUUUGGGUUUAGCGAGCUAUGGAUUGAUAUGGUAUGGAGGCUGGUGUCAAAUGUGUGAUUUUUUGUCAUUGUGAAUGGCUCGCUGAAGGGGUUUUUCAAGUCCGCCCCAGGUUUGCGCCAGGGGAAUCCGAUAUCGCCGGCUUUAUUUGUCAUUGGAGCGGAUGUGCUUUCACGUUCUCUGAAUGCCUUGACGGUGCAUAGGCGUUUCCAUCCCUUCAAAGUUCCGAGUGGAUGCCCUAUGGUCACGCACUUGGCAUAUGCUGACGAUGUGAUCAUUUUCACCAGCAGCAUCAAGGCCUCGGUGUAGUUGGUCAAGCAGGUAGUCGAUGGGUAUUGUUCUCUGUCGGGGCAGCGAGUUAACUGUCAAAAGAGUUAUUUUUUGGUGCACCCCAGGGUGCCUCCGCAACGACGAGCAAUGAUCAGGACGGUUACGGGCUUCUCGCACAAGUCAUUUCCUAUCAAAUACCUUGGAUGUCCUUUGUACAUUGGGAGGAGAUGAGUGUAUUAUUUUGCAGAUGUCUGCAGUGCGGUAACGGCUAGAAUCUUAUCAUGGAAAAAUCGGGUCCUAUCGUCUGGGGGCAAACUAGUUUUGCUCAGAAGCGUGCUGUCUUCAAUCCCGAUCCACUUGUUAGCGGCGACAUCACCGCCAAAGGCAGUGUUUGUGUCCCUCGAGAAGGUGAUAGUAGCCUUUUUGUCGGGCUCAUCAGAGAUUGGUCCUAGGUGGCAGUGGAUAAGUUGGGAGGAGCUAUGCCGGCCUCCGGAGGCAGGAGGGGUCGGAUUUCGUAGUAUUGCUGAGGUGUAUGAUGCACUCUCCAUUAAGCUUUGGUGAAAUUUUCGGCAGCAAAAGUCGCUAUGAGCGCAAUUUCUGUCAGCGAAAUAUUGUAAUGGAGUGCAUCCUUGUUUGGCAGAAGAGGUCUCUUCACAGUCCGCCACUUGGCGGAGAUUGAGGUCAGUUCAGGAUUUGGCGGAGGAGCAUAUCCGCUGGGUCCUUGGUGAGGGUUCCAUAGAUUUCUGGCAUGAUAAUUGGAUGGGUACAAGAGCGUUGUGCCAUCGGGUAGAUAUUUUUCAUGAGCAUAGGAUGGCAGAUCUUGUCUUUCAGGCACAAUGGAACUGGCGACUCCUUAAUCAGAUAUUGGCGCCGGAGCUAGUGAGGCAAGUGGUGCAGGUAUCUCCCCCGGCCUCUAGAGGUGCGGAUAGGGUGGUUUGGGCGUUAACGGCUGAUGGGCCGUUCUCGGUAGCCUCGACUUACUCCGCUGUUACAAAGUCGGCUACUUGCUCUUGGGUUGCUUCACAAGUUUGGCUGCAAGGUUGCCCCCUCAAGAUUUCCUUCUUCAUGCUCCGGCUGUUGCGAUCGCGCCUUUCCCUUAUGGAUAUGCUACGGAGAUUUGGGGUUCAGGGCCCGUCUAGGUGUCGGUGUUGCUCUAAGCCGAGUGAGGAAGGGAUCCAGCACACCUUCUGCACGGGGGAAUUAACAAAGGCUGUUUGGGCUAGCUUUGAGGAAUGUCAGGGGGAGUUGGCUAGGGUUUUCACGGUGUGUCAUCUGGUCGUGUGGUGGUGGUUGCGCCGGGGACAUAAUGUGUACCUCAAGUUCGUAUAUCGGUUACUCCCAAUGCUGGUCUGUUGGGAGUUGUGGAAAGCGCGAAACACAGGGAUAUUUGAGGGGAGGAGAGCGGUGAGUACGGAGGUGGUGCGUCAGGUAUUUCUACAAUUGUGUGCUUUAUUUCAUUGCCGUUUCCCGGAGAUAGAUGGCUCUUUUGGGUCAUGGGAUGCUUUUCACUCGGCAUUGGUGGGUAUGAGGCGGAGGGUUUCUAUUAUUCAGGUGGCAUGGGUGGCUCCUACAGGAGGGUAUAAAUUGAAUUCAAAUAGAUGCUCUAGAGGGAAUCCGGGGAUUAGUGGAGGUGGAGGUGUGGUGCGUGAUAGGGACGGGAAGCUCAUUUUCGGCUAUUCUUGUUUCUUUGGUUCCUUGACGAGUUUGCAUGCGGAGCUCAGGGCAAUGCUGUUUGGGGUGCGGUUAUGUGUCGCUCAGGGUUUGUAUGGGUUGCAUAUCGAGUCAGAUUCGCUCAGCUUGGUGCGGAUUCUGCAAGGGAGUCAAAGCUGCCCGUGACGACUCCAACAGGAGAUGUCCGAGUUGAUCACCUAUAAGCCAUACUUCACGGAGAUCACGCAUUGCUAUCGAGAGGCAAACAAGCCUGCUGAUUGCCUGGCUAACAUGGGAGCGGAUUCGGAGCAGGAGAGGGUCUUUACUAACCUUUCUGCUUUGCCUUGUAAUGUUCAGGGGGAACUAGCUUUGGAGCGCGUAGGGUUUCCUAAUUUUCGUAGGAGGUGGGGUAGAUGAGCGUUGUAUGCUUGUAUGCUUUCUUUCGCUUGCUCUCAAGUUCAAUAAAGCGAUUUUAUUUGAAAAAUAUAUAUAUAUAUAAUUGUUGUUAAAAUCACCAAAUUGACUAUAUUUGUUACUCAUUUUAAUAAAUUGGUAAAUUUAGUGAUUUUUUGACAAUUAUUGGCAUUUUUCAUAUAAUGUCUUUAAUGUCACCAUUUUGGGGAAAAAAAAUAGAUAAUUGCAUGGAAUUUUGUGAAAAAGAAUUUGAUGAAUUUUGCAAGAAUGAAGAAAUUGCUCAGCAUCGUACUGUCAGGAUGACGCCUCAACAAAAUGGUGUGGCCGAAUGUAUGAACAGAACACUUUUGGAGAGAGCGAGGUGCAUGAUCUCUAAUGCAGGGUUGACAAAGGACUUUUGGGCAGAGGCGAUCUCUAUGGCUUGUUAUAUUGUCAACCGUGCUCCUUAUGCUACUUUUAAUUUCAAAAUUCCUGAAAAAGUUUGGUCAGGUACUCCCGCUGAUUAUUUUGAUUUUAAAAUUUUUGGGUGUCAAGCAUACAUGCCUGUAAAUGAUAAAAAAUUAGAACAUCUAGUUAAAAAAUAUAUUAUUCUUGGGUAUGCUUGUGGGAUGAAAGGAUACAGAUUAUGGUGUCCUGAUCCCAAAUUUUCAAAAUUUAUAAUCAGUAGAAAUUUUACUUUUGAUGAAUUCUCUAUGUUAUCUUUCAAGAAGGAAUCUUCAAGUUCUUGUCAAGCAGAUGAUAGUAUGCAGAAGCAGGUGGAGUUUAACAUUGGUAGUUCUGGUCCUUCUAUUCAACAAGUGCCAGUAGACGCAUCUGAAUCUACUGAUGAAAAUAAUUCAAAAGAGAAAGAAUAUUCCAUUGUCAGAGAUAGACCAAGGAGGGAUAUUUGACCACUACAAAGAUAUAUAAAUUUGGUUGCAUAUGCUUUGUCUGUUGCAGAAGAAACUGAUGUAGUCGAUGAGCCUACUACCUAUUUAGAGGUAGUUUCUUGUGAUGACUCUACUAAAUGGCUGAUUGCAAUGAAUGAAGAAAUUGUGUCUCUCCAUCGAAAUGAAAUUUGGGUUCUUGUGAAGCCGCCUUCAGAUAAGAAAAUUGUUGUAUGCAAAUGGAUCUUCAAGAAGAAAGAACGUAUUUUAGGGGUCGAAAAUGCAAGGUACAAAGCACAUUUGGUUGCAAAGGGCUAUAGUCAGGUACAAGGUGUUGAUUUUAAUGAAAUAUUUUCAACUGUUAUUAAGUAUAACUCUAUUCGUGUUUUGCUUGCUUUAGUUACUAUGUAUGAUUUGGAGUUGGAGCAACUUGAUGUUAAGACAACUUUCUUACAUGGUGAACUUGAAGAGAAAAUUUAUAUUAAGCAACCUCAGGAACUUGAAGUUGAAGGAAAGGAAGACCAUGUUUGUUUGCUAAAGAAAUCCUUAUAUGGAUUGAAACAAUCUCCAAAAGAGUGGUAUAAGAGGUUUGACACUUUUAUGUUGGAUCAUGGUUAUUCAAGGAGCAUGUAUGACAGUUGUGUUUACUUCCGAAAGUUAGAUGAUGGUUCUUUCAUUUAUUUGUUGAUUUAUGUUGAUGACAUGCUCAUUGCUGCCAAGAAUUUGUCAGAAAUUCAUACUUUGAAGUUGCAGCUAAGUAGUGAAUUUGAAAUGAAACAUUUGGAAGCAACUAAAAUUCUUGGCAUGGAGAUCAAAAGAGACUAAAGAGUUGAAAAGUUAUUCUUGACUCAAGAAAAUUACCCUGAGAAAGCCUUGGGGAAGUUUGGCAUGAAAGAUGCUAAACCUAUGACUACUCCUCUUACUAGUCAUUUUCAACUAUCUGCUGCUCAAUCACCACUGUCAAUUAAAGAGAAAAAGUAUAUGGCACGAGUUUCUUAUUUUUGUGCAGUCGGCAAUAUUAUGUAUGCAAUGGUUUGUACUCGUCCAGAUAUUGCACAAAUAGUCAGUGUGGUUAGUAGAUAUAUGUCUUAUCCUAGAAAAGCAUAUUGGUAGGCUGUGAAAUGGAUUCUCAGAUACUUGUGAGGGACUUCAAAUUGUUGUUUGAAGUUUGGGAGAAAUAAUAACACUUUGAUUCGUUUUGUAAACUCUGACUAUGCUAAGGAUCUUGACAUAAGAAGAUCACUUUCAGGUUACGUAUUCUGUAUUGGCGGUUGUGCAGUUAGUUGGAAAGCUACUCUACAACCUGUUGUAGCUUUAUCUACUACGGAGGCAGAGUAUAUGGCCAUGACCGAGGCAAUCAAAGAAGUCUUGUGGUUGAAGAGUUUGUUUGGUGAACUUAAUCUGCAUCAAGGUGUUACUACUAUUUACUGUGAUAGUCAAAAUGUCAUUCAUUUGACUAAAGACCAGAUGUAUCAUGAGAGAACGAAGCACAUUGACGUAAAAUUUUAUUUCAUUCGAGAUACUAUUGUUGAGGGAAAAGUCCUUGUUCAAAAAAUUAGUACGAACGAGAAUCCUGCUGACAUAUUCACGAAGUCUCUUCCAGUUUACAAGUUCAAACAAUGCUUGAAUUUGGUUGGUAUUCGUCAUUGGUGAUUUAGGCCCAUUGGGGCUUAUGUGGAGAAGGUGGAGCAGUUUUGCUAUUGUCGAUGUUGGGGACACACCAAGAUAGAGAUUUGUUAAAGUGGCGCUGUCCCACAUCGCUUUUUGUAUAAGGGAACAUUUCCCUUAGUUGCCUAUAAAUAUAAUGGGCCUAUGACAAGUGCACCAAACCAAGAGAGCUUUAGUGGGUUAUUUGAAUUUUUGGGUCAUUAAACCUUUUAUUUAGUAAAAUAUUUUGGACUCUCUUGUGUUUUAAGUAUUAGGUGUUUUGGGGUUAGGAACACUUUCCUAAGGCAUUUUGUACCCUCUUCUUUAUAGUAAAAUAUUGCUUCUCCUCUGUCCGUGAACGUAGGUCAAUUUGAUCGAACCACGUAAAUUAUUAUGUUCCUGUUUUAUUUACUUUUGCUUUGUUAUUUGUCUUUUGGGGUUGUCAAAAAUCCUUUUGUCAAUUUCCUGGGGCCAGACCUAAUACAAAGAGAGGAAAAAAGUUGUAUUGUAUGAUGGGGCGUUGGGAAAGAUUCGUGCUAGGAUGGGUGGCUGGAGCUCUAAGCUGUUGUCUCCUGGGGGAAAAAUAAUUCUUAUUAGAUAUGUCCUUACGUUGAUUUUCAUUUACUUCAUGCAAGUGUUGCCCCUCCCCCCCAAAGUCAGUAUUAGCAGCAUUGGGAGAUCUUUUCAAUAGUUUUCUGUGGGAUUAUAACUCCUAUAACAAGAGGGUUCAUUGGAAGGCAUGGGAUGAGUUGUGCUUCCCUAUAGAAGAGGGGGGCCUUGGGUAUAGAUCUCUGACCUCUAUGGUAGAGGCUUUCAGUAUGAAGCUCUAGUGGAGUUUACGAUGUAAAAAGUCACUGUGGGCUGACUUUAUGCACGCCAAAUAUGUUAAGGAUUGUCACCCAAUUGAAGCGCCAGUAGUGAGAAGCUCUCCUAUUUGGCAUUGUUUGUGUUCCAUAAGACAGCAAGUGGAGCAACAUGUUUUUUGGAAAUCGGAUUGAGAAGAGGUUGAUUUUUUGAGAGACAAAUGGUUGCUAGAGGAAUCUUUGCUGGAUGUCUAUGAUUUGGCGGAUCCACCAGCCCUUACAGUUAGUGAUUUCAUGCUCAGGGAGACAUGGAAUUGGUAGUUUUUACAGCAAUGACUUCUGUUACAUAUUUGUAAUGCUAUAGAAGAUGUCACAGUGUGCUUGGGUAAGGAUUAUAUAAUAGUCUAGAAUGCUUCCUCUUCUGAGGAAUUCUCAUUAACGUCUGCUUAUGACUGUUGUAGGAUGAAAUGUCUGAUAUCCAUGGUUUGCAAGACUCUUUGGAGUUCUUGGGUUCCAAAUAAAAUGUCUUUUUUGGCUUGAAGAAUUUUAACUGAUAGCCUUUCGUUGGAUUCAAAUUUGCAGGUUCGAGGAUUGUCCUUAGUGUCACAUUGUGAAUGUUGCAGGGUACAAGAAGCAUUGCGGCACCUCUUUCUUGAUGGGGAGGUGGUGCAGUAGGUUUGGCGUGCGGUUGAUGCCUGGUUUGGUGUAGCAUACAUAAGGCAUUCUUGUUUGUAAACGAUUCUCAUGCUCUUUCCCUAUUUUAGUUUGUUGGUUUAUAUGGUAUGCAUGGAAUGAAUCGAGGUUCCAGGGAAUUUCAAUUACUGCAGUUUCAAUCCUCUUCAGGUUGGAGUAAUUUCUGGUGUUAAUGGGCAAGUCGCUAGUGUUCCUUGGAUCGUUUCUAAAGGGAGUUGAAGCGUCCCUUCCUGCUGCAUGUUUUACUCUUAAGCCAUCGGUGAAGCAAAUUGCCAAGCCAGUCACAUGGCAUCUUUCUCCCUCGGGAUGCCUCAAAUUAAAUACCGAUGCAAGUGUAACAACCGGAUGUGCAGUAGGAGGCGGAAUCCUUAGAGAUCAUUUGGGUAGGAUGGUGUUGGCUUUUUACACCAAGUUCGGUCAUAUUGAGGUCCUAGAGGCAAAAGCAAGGGCGUUGCACUUUGGCUUGAAGCUUUGUGGGCAAAUUCCAUGUCAAGGACUGAUUGCAGAAGUGGAUUUGCAGGUUUUACAUCAUCUCAUCUUAGACAAGUUAUCGGCCAGAUGGCUUUUAUGCAACGUGUUGACGUCAAUUAGGAACUUCCUUCGCCAUACAAGGCUCAGUGCAUCACGUCUUUAGAAAGACUAACACGGCAGCGGAUGCUUUAGCAGGACUCAAUCUACCUAAUCAGAUGGUAUUCCAUCAAUCUUCUCAAUUGCCUCCCAUUAUCAAAUCUAUAUUGUUCUUCGAUACCUUUAGUAUGCCAUCUGUUAAACUCAUUGAUGUAAAGGAGUAGUACUCCUUCUUUACAUUGUAGAUUUGUGGCUGUAAUCUCUAAUUUUUGUUAAUGAAAUUUAGACUGGUAUCCCACCCCCGUUUAUGGGGUUUGCCAAAAAACAAGAGUAGAGUUUAUAGGCCGUAUAAGAGGUGUGGUCCGUUUGUCUUUUGCUGUCCUAGUUUCAUUAGGAGUUUGUGUCAAGAAACAUAAAAGUAUCAUUUUUCUCUUUCAAUGAGAGGUUCGACGUUUUUACAAAAAUUAAUUCUUGAGAGAUUGCUCUCUUGGCUCUAUGAGCUUUUGUUGAACACUUAGAGUCGUAUUCUUGUUCAUUCAGCUUAUCAAUCAAGUUCAUCACCCUUGAUUGUGGUGCCUACUAUCAUUCCUAGGAUUCGCUGGUUCGUUUGAUUGUGGUCAAGAUUGUAUCAAGGUUGGUAAUCACGGGGAUUAGAGGGGUUUGUGUAGGAAUUCCGCCAAUUCAAACUUGUGUCAAUCACUAUCGAUCCGAGGUUUGUGUGAUCAAGAAAUCCAUCUUCAACGGGGUUCGUAUCAGCUUGCAUCAAAGCUAGUUGGUGAUUUUUCUGGUUAAAUCCCUUGUUUUUUAUUCAAUUCGUUGGUCUUUUUGGUUGACAGAGUCAAUUUGUUGUUGUUAGGAAGUCGCUAGGGUUCUUUUCUUGUUCAUCGCAUUUUAUAGUUGUUCAUUACUUCAAUUAAAUCGUUCCUUGUUGGAAUCUAUCCAUGUCCUAUUUGUCAUUUAUUCCUUCUUGUUUUGGUCCAGAAUUUGGUGUUAAUCCGUUUGCUCAUUGGGAUAUUGUUCCAAAAAAUUAAAAAAUAUAUAUAGAAGUCGCUAGGGUUUCUUUGUCGCAAACCAAAUUAGGGUUUCAUUUAUUAGUUGCUGUCCGAAUAAAUUCUUCCUGUUGUCAUCAUUUCUUGCUUCCACAAUUUCGUGUUAUUAUUGUGUCUUGAUUGUAAUUCAAGUUUUGAGCCAAAAAAAUUUUGUUCAUAUCUAGUUAGGGUUUUUGAGUCAUCGUCCAGUUUUCUUGAAGGAAUCGAAGCUGUAUUCUAGGGUUCUUGUUAGUUAUGGUGUACACUUAAGAAAAACAGACUGACCUGGUAAAAUUCUUGGAAUUUGAAAUCAAAACUGGGGUUUCUUGAAGUUCUUGGUUGUUUAAAAGGGCAAUCUUGAAGUUCUUGGAGUUGCGAGUUGAUAUUCUUGAAGUUGUUUGAAGAAAGUUUAAAUCGGUCUUGUUGAAACUGGACAAACCGUCGGCUGUUUAGGGGGAUUCAACCUCGAAUUUUUUGUUUGUUGAAUUCUGGAAAACCUUUCGUGGGUUCUUGUAGAAUGUUGAAGCUUGCUAGGGUUUUGGGGACCAAAAUCUUAUUCAAAACCAUCCUGUAAAAUUCCAGCCGCUAAAUCUCUUGUUCAUCGAAGUUCUUGGCUGUUGUGUGUAUAUAUAUAUAUAUAUCACAGCCACUAUUUUUUAUUCCUAAAUUUUCCAGAAUUGAGUCAUAUUUGUGUUUGUGAAGUUCUUGAAUCAGUUGGACAAAUCAAACAAGAAAACAGUCGCAACCUCAAAUCCAAAUUCCAUUAGGAUUCUUCCUAGUGCAAUCCGACAGCCGUUUAACGAACAUCCCAUAGGGAAAAUUUGUGAAUUCUAGCCAUUUAAUCCUUAUUCCAGUGGGAAAAGGGGUUCAUUCUAGAUUUGCUCCAAGAUAAUCAGUCCUAAUAAAAUUUCCAAAUCACAUCCCACGAAGAAGUCAAGAAAUUGCAUUCAAGUCACUUCAUUUUCCAUUGUUCUAGAGUCAAAUUCCAGCAUUCUUGGUGUCAUUACUUCUAAUCCUUUCCAACAGUUAUUAGCCAUAGAAUUUGUUCUUAGAGUCCAGAAAAUAACGCCCCAAAUUUCUAGUAGCUAGGUCCUAAGUUCGUCCAAAAUUCCAGGUUUAUCAGAAUGAAAAUUCCAGCUUUGUUAGUAUCAUUCUUACUAGUGUUGGUGUCGCGUCUUAAUAGUACAUUGAGUCAAUUCUCUUGAAUUCAUUCCAAUAAGUUUCCAGCCAUAAGUUACAGUAGUUUACGGCCUUAAACACAUCCUCAAAAUUCCAGUUUGUCGAGUGCCAAAUUUCUAGAUUUGGUGUCAUCUUUGCUUAGUCAUUCAAGUCGUUAAUUUUCCACCUUAACUUAAGCAAAUUUUCAGCAUUAUUCUUGGUCCAAAAGGUUGAGUUUCUUCAUCCAAAUUUCCAGAUUCGUGUCUUUUCUUUCAAACACCAACUCUACUCUCUACUGGGCUACACUCAAGGAGCUAAUUGUAAAGCUCAAUUGAACACUUGAGGGGUUCUUACCUAUUCAAGAAAGGCAGCCGAGAGUCCAUUUGAGAGCUUUGGUGAGAUAAAUAAAGUGAAAAUUUGAGUGUAUACACAAGCAUGAGCAGAUACACGCGAGGGUGCGAGAAAGGCAAAUUCUUUUAUAGUAAAAUUUUCUUGCAGGAUACCUAAGCAAUAGAGGAACACGAACCAAAAGUAGACCCCACUCUUAAAUUAGAAGCUUUGUUUGAUGACUUUACUAGAAGAAUCACUAACAACAUGGAGGCUCUACACGAAAGGAUGGAUCGAUUGGAAUUGUUUGGAAUUAUCUCAAAUGCCAUCUAAGGGUCAACGAGACAAAAACAAGAUUGAAGAAUCUAAGAGCUUUAAUGAUGAAGAAUCCGAACAAAGGCUGACACCGAGACAUCGUAAGCCGAACCAAUGGAGGGACCCUAUAAAAGUGAUCAAAAUGAAGAUUAUGAUGUUUCAUGAGAGGUCGAAUCCUGAGACAUAUCUUGAGUGGGAGCGGAAGAUGGAGAUGAUUUUUGAGAGUCACAACUACACCGAAGAGCAGAAGACCAAGUUCACUGUAAUCGAAUUUACUAGUUAUGUGAUUGUUUGAUGGGGCCAGUUGUACACAAGUAGAAGACGAAGUAGAGAGGCCACUAUCACCACUUGGAUCGAGAUACGAGGUAUUAUGAGGAAGAAGUUCAUCACGAGCUAUUACUAUCUCAAUGAUGUAAUCUACAAUUGACAUAAUCUAGACAACCAAUCAUCAACGGUUUGAGCAGCAAAAAUUUGACCCAAUCUAAUCCUCGAAGUAGCGAAUAAUGUUGAUAUUAUCUCAGCCCACUACUUAACGAAUUAGCGAACCAAACUAUAGGUAGAGGAACACCACAACCAAGGAGUUACUUGAUUGAUAAGUUCACUUGAAUAAUUUGAGAAAGAUUCUCAAAUAUUCAAAGAAGCUCUCUUGGAAAGAGAAAGUGAAAAACUCACGAUUUUUAUUAAUGCAAAAACUGAUUAUGAAGGUCUCUUGCCUUGGCUAUGUAUAGCCAUACAACUUGAAAACUUAAAGUGACUUGAAAACCCUAACUCGGCUAAGCUAGGCCUUUGGGCCGAUUCUACUACUCAAAUCCACUAUCUAAUGGUCAGCUUAUAAUCGACCCAAUGAAGGCUUUAAGCUGGCCCAACAUAACCCAAUAAAAGCUAAUUAACCAACUUAAGUAAUAGUGAGCCUCGACUCUAUAAAUCGGAUCCAACUCAACAUGAGAUCUUGGACCGAAUUUAUUCCUAGCAAAUAAAAUAGAAAUCUGGAAAAUAAACUACUAACUAUUACUAAAAGAUUCAAUCUCUUGCAGUCCAAAACAUAACCCAUAAGCGGCCCAUAUUUUGUAUCAUUCCCCUCCUCUUGAAAAAGAUUAGUCCUCAAAUCGUGUUUGGAAAUGAAUGGUUCUACAAGAGUUGGCAGUAUGACACCUCAAAUCUCCACAUAUUGGCUCUCUUAGAAUGAAUGAUACUUGCAUACUUCAUGAUUAUUGUAAUUCGGUGCACAUGUCUCUUGGUCAGCUUGAAAAUGCUCACAAUCCGUCAUGAAAAACUCAAGGAUUUACUCCAACCACUCCAAAGCUCUCUAAUCAGCCUUGUGUCAUGAAUGGUUGAAUUUGGACCUACACAAUAAAUCACACGAUUAGCAUUUGUAGGUAUAAAAUCACUUGACAGCUUACCAUUCACAUUCACAAGAUAAGGAUCUUCAUAGUGAUGCUCAAUCAAGUUAGAAAAGUCCCGAAUAUGAUUGUCCAAAGCUACAUAAUUCAUUGCAAUUUGUUGUUGGUAUGGCCUAUCUUACACAAAUGGAGCAAGAUCGAGAUAGGCAGCUUUUGUACCUUCAAAUUGAAGAAUAAAAUCAGGUUGUAAGGAAUCAGAAUUUGGGACGAUGAGGAAAGAAUUAUCACCAACAAAAUAAGAAGGAAGUUUAUAACAAGUUUCAAGUAUAGAAACUCCCUUUGAAACUUCAUUAUUCCUCCCAAUAAGCAAAUCAGGCUCAUGGUUGAAGUUGAACAUCAAUGGAUGACAAAGAGAUACAACACUCAAGAUGCAAACUCCAUGAAAAGUUUGAUAUUCACCAAUGGAUUUAGGAAUAGAACAUGCCAAGAUCAGCUCAAUUUUUCCUUGCUUAACCUGCAUAAAAGUAGAAACACUAAACAACGUAGAGUUAAAAUCGUUAGAAAAAACGUAUGAUCUCACAUCCUUUCUCAUAAUCAGCUUACUCUUAGAAUUUUUAAUCUCUUUCUCAUGCUCAAUAGCUAACUUUUUCCUCUCAUUAUUAUCAACCUCUUUCUCCUUUUCAACUCCCUCGAAUUUUACCUCAUCAGUCACAAUUCCCUUAUCUAGCUCUUUCUUCAUACUAUAACGCUCAUACUCACUUUUCAUGUAUGCUAGAUCAAUACAAAGUUGGUCAUAAAUAAGUGAUACAAGUGCAGAACGACGACCAUUAAAUAAGAAGGAAUACUUAUUAGUAUGUCCAUCAUAUUUAACUUCUCGCCUUAACAUCCAUGCUUUACCCAACAAUACAUGUGUCACUUGAAUUAGGACUACAUCACUCAACACCUCAUCCACAUACUUGCCAAUUUGAAUAGGUACAAGUGUGUGUUUAGUAACCCAAACAUCACCAUGAGCACUCGGCAACUUAUACGGUUGAAGAUGAUCAAUGGUUGGAAGAUUUAAUUUGUUAACCAUGAUAGCGCUUGCAAGAUUGACUUCACAACUCCUAUUAAUGGCCAAGCUGCAAGUUUUGUCUUUGACACCACAACGAGUAUAAAGCCAAUCAUGCAACUGAGAUUUGAUGAUGUCCAACUGCUCAUCUACACCACGUAAUGCCACUUCUUUGACUCCCUUAGGAUCAGGAAGAAGGUAUUGUAAGCUAGCCUUUAAAUGCCUCGUAUUCGCCAUGAUGUAUGAGGAAACCUGCAAAAAAAUUAGUGAAACAAAAGAUAUUAUCCUCACCACACAUGUUCAUGUGUUUACACUCGUCACUCGUGUAUCACUCAAGUGUUUAAAACACUCUAAUGCUCUCACAAAUCACUUCUCAAAUCCCUUGAUUGCUUCCUUUGAAGAAAUCAGAAAUUUCCUCCAAGUAAUUCAAUCAAAAGUUUUCCCCAAAAGUGGCUUAUGAGUAGCUGGAAUUUAAGACUAAACGAAGACUCAAAAGGCAGCAAUUACACAAGCAAGAAUUCGCUGGAAUUUUUCUGAUUUAGUCCGCAAAAGAGUAACUCAAGUGUUGUGAGAGUUUGACUUCGACAAGGACUCUAACAAGCUAAAUAAUAGCUAGACCUGUUUGGAUUCUUUUGGACACUAUGACGCCCCGAAAGAAUGAGUGUGAGAACCCGAAAAUUUUUAUAUAUUUUCUAGACAUUAUUUUGUUUCCUUGUUUAUAAUUUUGUACCUUGCUUCAAGAUAUUAAUUUUCUAUACAUUUUUAUAAAGGAAUAUAAUUUUCAAAUCAUUUCCUUGAUACGAGUUAGUCCACGUUAAGUUUGAAGUGUAUUAUGGACGUGGGACCCGCUAGUGCGGUAAAUGCAAUAUAUUUUUGACAACUUGUUGGAGGUUUGUAUUAAGUGAUAUUAUUUUAUAAGGUGCUAAGAGAUUUGUAUUAGAGAGACAAAAAGAUAAGCUUUAACCUAAAAGGUGACAAGUGUCACCAUUCAAUUCACCCUUUGACUUUUGAUCAAGAUAUUUUUACCAUCUUAAAGCUAAUUUUGGCCAUUUUAUUUCUUCAUUUGAAGCUCUCUUGGCCAAACUCCUUAGGGAGAGAAAAGAAAGAAACCUCCAACUUCUUUCUUCAAUUUCUUGCCUUGAUCUCACAAACCAACCGCUAAAACUUUGAUUUGCUCCAUAAAAACCUUUCUCUUGGUAGGAUUAAAGUGAGUGGUGAAGUGGUUUGAGAAACAAAGGUGCUAAGUUGCUUGUUGUCUUGAGGUUACAAGGUGAGUUGUUAAGAAUCUUUCCCUUUAGCUUUGCUAAUGUUCAAUUGGUGGCUUUAGUGGUUUAAUAUGAUGACAUAUGGUGUGAUUAUGGUUGGAAGUGAAGGUUUGAUGAAUUUUGAUUUAUUCUUGUUAUUUUUCUGUUUUGUAUGAGGAUCAUGGUUUGAUCAUGGUAUGAUGGCUGGUAAUGGUGUAAAAUGGAGCUUGUAUAUGUUAGUUGAAGUUGAUUGCGGAAAAUUUCUGGUUUUAUACUAAAUUCCAGGUUUAGGGUUAAAUUUGCCCUGUUCUGGCCGGAUUUAUUUGGGCAUGUUAGAGGCCGAAUCAGGCUUAGGGUAAAACAUGAAAGUUGUAGAAAAUGGUGUUAACUAGAUUUCUCCAAAAUUUUAGCCCUAUCAGAGCACUGUAACAUGUGAAAUGAUCGAAAUACCCUUGACUGCCCAUGAACCCUGUUCUGCGCCCAGAUUUCUGUUUUCGUGGAGUUUUCCAUUUUUGACCAUGAAAAUACAUGACUUGACUUUGGAUGUCUUCAUAAGAAAUGUAGGGUUAUAUUUUAGCUUCAAAACGGUAUAAAGUACAUCCAAAUCUGAGAUCCGUAGCUCCAAUUAUGACCACAACAAAAUCGGUUGUCAGAACUGCCUUUGAAUUUGGACAGUUCUAACAGAAACUUUGGACCCGUUUUUCACCCUGCGCUGUGUUGAUUCAGGUUUUAACCAAAACAUAAAAGUUUUAGCAUUAUGAGAUAGCUUUCCAAUUCCUUUUGAAUUUCUUGAUUUGGAUUUGUGAGCUGCGAGUUAUGGUUCAGCAAACAGACCCUGUCCGUCACCCUAAAAUGCAAACUUCUGGUACUGUUUUCCAUACUUUCGACCUGCUUCCAUUCAGAUCUAGAUUAAGGUUUUUUCAUGAAAAUUGUAGCCCUUCCUCUUAGCUUCGCAAAGGUACCUCAUGCACUUUGAUCCAACACUCGUAGCUUCGAUUGUGUUCAAAACAGUUUUUGACACCAAAAUGGUUGUGCUGCCAUUUCCGUUUCUGUAUGCCAUUUCGGCGCAUGCAUGUGUUGAUUUUGCCGUUUUACUUGAGUUAUGCAUGUUAGUAGCCAUUUGUGAUAUAUUGUGAUGUAAUCUUCUAUUUCAGACGGUGGUGAGCUAGACGGAGCCGGUGGGGCCCACUAGCUGGCGACUUGAAUUCAUUUCCGUACUUUCUCUUGUUAUACUUGCUCUUUAGGUGAGUAAUUAGGAUUUCAGUGUAACUCAAUACUAAUAUGAGUUUACUAUGAAAAAUGGGCACUUAGGCGAGGGUGUACUUUAUCGCACUCGAUCUAAACCCCAUUAGUUGCUAUUGAUACCUGUGAAAUAUAAUUUUUGGUGAUUUGUUAUGGAGCAUUUAUUGCUUGAACUAGAGCAUUUAUUGCUUGAACGAGAGCAUUUAUUGUUUGAACCAGAGCAUUUAUUGCUUGAACUACGAUUUUAGAGCAUUUAUUGCUCGUGACUUGAGUUGAGGCUCAUGGUCUCUCUAUGUGGGGUCCUUUAAGAGAAGCGAGCUGUGUGGCUCAGGAUCUCAAGCAUCAACCAGUGAUCAAGCUCGACAAAUGAGUUGGUUUGGGAGCCACCCGUAUCCUUAUCAUGUGGUGUUACUUUUCUGCUUUUGCUUUGCUCUCACUAUGCAAAUGUUGACAUGUAAAAAUUACAUUUUUACCCUGGUUAGUCACUAAGCUUCUAGCCUACCUCCUUUUCUUUUGUUUUCCUUAGCAGGGGUUGACGCGGGGAAAUUUUGGCACAAUCACUAGUAUAGUUGGGCUAGUGUGACUGUAUGGAAUUGAAGUGGAUGUAUGUGUACCUUCCACGCUUAGAAUUAGUUUCCGCUUCACUUAUGAUAUGUAAUUCUUGUGGAAUUUGAGGUAACAUUUGAGAUUUAUAUUGUAAUUUAAUUGAGGACCAUAGUGAACGACUGAGUCCCGGUGAGAGCUGGGCAGGCGGUCCGCUAACCCAUUUGGUUCGCCUUAGGGGGAGGUGGGGCCGUCACAGUUAAUAUCAGAGUUUAGGCUUCAGAUCUCUGUAGCGUAUCCAAGGCUUGAAGUUUAGGAUGCCGGACUGUGGGUUUGGUUUGAAAUAUCAGUGAUUCUUAUAGGACUGAAAGGCGGACAAGUAGGUGUUAUUUGACUUUUAGUGUUUGCUUGGAAUGCUUGAGUGAUUCUUGCGGGAUGUCUUGACUUGAUUGGUACAAGAUGGAAUGUCGAGGACGACAUUCUUUUAAGCAGGGGAGUUUGUGACACCCCGAAAGAAUGAGUGUGAGAACCCGAAAAUUUUUAUAUAUUUUCUAGACAUUAUUUUGUUUCCUUGUUUAUAAUUUUGUACCUUUCUUCAAGAUAUUAAUUUUCUAUACAUUUUUAUAAAGGAAUAUAAUUUUCAAAUCAUUUCCUUGAUACGAGUUAGUCCACGUUAAGUUUGAAGUGUAUUAUGGAUGUGGGACCCACUAGUGCAGUAAAUGCAAUAUAUUUUUGACAACUUGUUGGAGGUUUGUAUUAAGUGAUAUUAUUUUACAAGGUGCUAAGAUAUUUGUAUUUGAGAGACAAAAAGAUAAGUUUUAACCUAAAAGGUGACAAGUGUCACCAUUCAAUUCACCCUUGGAAUUUUGACCAAGAUAUUUUUACCAUCUUAAAGCUAAUUUUGGCCAUUUUAUUUCUUCAUUUGAAGCUCUCUUGGCCAAACUCCUUAGGGAGAGAAAAGAAAGAAACCUCCAACUUCUUUCUUCAAUUUCUUGCCUUGAUCUCAAAAACCAACCGCUAAAACUUUGAUUUGCUCCAUAAAAAUCUUUCUCUUGGUAGGAUUAAGGUGAGUUGUGAAGUGGUUUAAGAAACAAAUGUGCUAAGUUGCUUGUUGUCUUGAGGUUACAAGGUGAGUUGUUAAGAAUCUUUCCCUUUAGCUUUGCUAAUGUUCAAUUGGUGGCUUUAGUGGUUUAAUAUGAUGACAUAUGGUGUGAUUAUGGUUUGUUUAUGGUUGGAAGUGAAGGUUUGAUGAAUUUUGAUUUAUUCUUGUUAUUUUUCUGUUUUGAAUGAGGAUCAUGGUUUGAUCAUGGUAUGAUGGCUGGUAAUGGUGUAAAAUGAAACUUGUAUAUGUUAGUUGAAGUUGGUUGCGGAAAAUUUCUGAUUUUAUACGAGAUUCCAGGUUUAGGGUUAAAUUUGCCCUGUUCUGGUCGGAUUUAUUUGGGCAUGGUAGAGGCCGAAUCAGGCUUAGGGUAAAACAUGAAAGUUGUAGAAAAUGGUGUUACCUAGAUGCCUGCAAAAUUUCAGCCUAAUCGGAGUACUGUAGCAUGUGAAAUAACCGAAAUACCCUUGACUGCCCAUGAACCCUGUUCCGCGCCUAGAUUUCUGUUUUCGUGGAGUUUUCCAUUUUUGACCAUGAAAAUACAUGAUUUGGCUUUGGAUGUCUUCAUAAGAAAUGUAGGGUUAUGUCUUAGCUUCAAAACAGUAUAAAGGGCAUCCAAAUCUGAGAUCCUUAGCUCCAGUUAUGACCACAACAAGAUCGGUUGUCAGAACUGCCUUUGAAUUUGGACAGUUCUAACGGGAACUGUGGACCCAUUUUUCACCCUGCCCUGUAAUGAUUCAGGUUUUAACCAAAACAUAAAAGUUUUAGAAUUAUGAGAUAGCUUUCCAAUGCCUUUGGAAUUUAUUGAUUUAGAUUUGUGAGCUGUGAGUUAUGGUUCAGCAAACAGACCCUGUCUGUCACCCUAAAAUUCAAACUUCUGGUACUGUUUUCCAUACUUUCGACCUGCUUCCAUUCAGAUCUAGAUUAAGGUGUCUUCAUGAAAAUUGUAGCCCUUCCUCUUAGCUUCGCAAAGGUACCUCAUGCAUUUUGAUCCGACACUCGUAGCUUCGAUUGUGUUCAAAACAGUUUUUGACACCAAAAUGGUUGUGCUGCCAUUUUCAUUUCUGUAUGCCGUUUCCGUGCAUGCAUGUGUCGAUUUUGCCGUUUUACUUGAGUUAUGCAUGUUAGUAGCCGUUUGUGAUAUAUUGUGAGGCAAUCUUCUAUUUCAAACGGUAGUGAGCUAGACGGAGCCAGUGGGGCCCACUAGCUGGCGACUUGAAUUCAUUUCCGUACUUUCUCUUGUUAUACUUGCUCUUUAGGUGAGUAAUUAGGGUUUCUGUGUAACUCAAUACUAAUAUGAGUUUACUAUGAAAAAUGGGCAUUUAGGCGAGAAUGUACUUUAUCGCACUCGAUCUAAACCCCAUUAGUUGCUAUUGAUACCUGUGAAAUAUGAUUUUUGGUGAUUUGUUAUGGAGCAUUUAUUGCUUGAACCAGAGCAUUUAUUGCUUGAACUACGAUUUUAGAGCAUUUAUUGCUUGAAAAAUAUUUUAGAUCAUUUAUUGCUCGUGACUUGAGUCGAGGCUCAUGGUCUCUCUAUGUGGGGUCCUUUAAGAGAAGCGAGCUGUGUGGCUCAGGAUCUCAAGGGUCAACCAGUGAUUAAGCUCAACAAAUGAGUUGGUUUGGGAGCCACCCGUAUCCUUACCAUGUGGUGUUACUUUUCUGCUUUUGCUUUGCUCUCACUGUGCAAAUGUUGGCAUGUAAAAAUUACAUUUUUACCCUGGUUAGUCACUAAGCUUCUAGCUUACCUCCUUUUCUUUUGUUUUCCUUAGCAGGGGCCGACGCGGGGAAAUUUUGGCACCAUCACUAGUAUAGUUGGGCUAGUGUGACUGUAUGGAAUUGAAGUGGAUGUAUGUGUACCUUCCACGCUUAGAAUUAGUUUCCGCUUCACUUAUGAUAUGUAAUUCUUGGGGAAUUUGAGGUAAUAUUUGAGAUUUAUAUUGUAAUUUAAUUGAGGACCGUAGUGAACGACUGAGUCCCGGUGAGAGUUGGGCAGGCGGUCCGCUAACCCCUUUGGUUCGCCUUAGGGGGAGGUGGGGCCGUCACAGACACUCUUAAACAAUCUGCAAAAAAUGACUCGAAGACGACAAUUUAUCAACCUGGACAGAUUGCUAAUGUCGAUUGAAAUUAGAACUCGAUGGCAGAUUUUUUUUGGAUCCUAGAGUGACUCUAUCGAAGGAAGGGCUCUUGUUAUUGCUGGAAUUCUGGUUCGUUGCUUUCUUGGGGUGCUCGGGCAGAUUUUGUGGAGUUUUUGGUAUGUAUGGAAUUCUCAAUGGUAGGUCUUUUUAGUCCUUGAAUGGACAGUUCACUUCGGCUUACAAUGGUGUUGUAACUGAUUAGGGAACAAGGCUCAAUUAGUUGGCGGUUUUAGCAGGCUGGUUGGUUUGUUUUGGGAGGCCAAGGGGUUUGGGAAGGCUAUUCGGAUCUGAUGUGGGAAGGUUGUGGUGUUUUAGAAAGGUUUGGAUUUGAUUUCUUGGUUCUCUUGGCUGACUUCAAUCCCAAUAGCUUUAGGAUUAGAAGUAGAUCAAGAAUGGGACUUGUUUUCCAAGUAGGAAACCUAGAGCUGAUGCUUUCUUGCCCUUUUUUUUCGUUUCUUUCGUUGCUCUUUUGUUUUCUUUUGCAGCUCUCUAAUUGAUAUUCAAGAACUUAGAUUCAGUCCCAACAAUUGAAUUUUCAGAUCUAAGUUCAAGAUGCCAAGAAAAUAGAAGUUUUCUUCCCAAAUUUUCAAGAAACCCAAGAACUCCCAAAUUUGUUUUCAAGAACUUCAAGAAAUCUGAUCAAGAAGCUCAAGAACUUCCCAACUAUGCUUUUGGUAUUCAAGGUUUGCAAGAAAUAACACAAAUAUUCAAGGUUUAAGGGUGAAACAAGUUCGGCAACCCAAGAAAAGAAAUUCCAGCAAACCCGACUCAAGAAACAAUGGUAUGCGACACUUUUUUUUUCCUUUUUUUUUGACACUUUGCUGGGUUGUUUUCACAACCAACACAAGAAACACACUACAAUCUGGACAAAAGGCAAUAGGAAAUAGCAUCCAAGAUUUCGGACAGAUUGCAACACAAUACACGAGACACGAUAAGAAGGAACAAGAAAGCCCUAGCGGCUGCAAAUUUUUUUUCUUUUUCGUUUGCUUUCUAGACACAACACAAUGACCACAAUAAUUAUCAACAAACUAGACACAAACACAAAAGAGAUAACACAGUAACAGAUUUUGUGUUCGGAUGAACAGUACCCACGGAUGAAUAGUAAUGUGAACAGUGACGGUGAACAGUAUCCGAUGAACAGUAUCGAUUUUUUUUUUUUGAUGUAAGGAUCUGAUUUGAAGGAGACAAGAAGAUUCGACUCAACACAAAAAAAAAAGAAAGAUCUAACGUGGUAGAACCAACGGUUUGAGCAGCGAAAAUUUGAUCCAAUCUAAUCCUCGAAGUAGCGAACAAUGUUGAUAUUAUCUCAACCCACUACUUAACGAAUUAGCGAAUCAAACUACAGGUAGAGGAACGUCAUAACCAAGGAGUUACUUGAAUAACUUAAGAAAGAUUCUAAAAUAUUCAAAGAAGCUCUCUUGGAAAGUGAAAGUGAAAAACUCACGAAUUUUAUUAAUGCAAAAACUGAUUAUGAAGGUCUCUUGCCUUGGCUAUAUAUAGCCAUACAACUUGAAAACCUAAAGUGACUUGAAAACCCUAACUCGGCUAGGCUAGGCCUUUGGGCCGAUUCUACAACUCAAAUCCACUAUCUAAUGGUCAGCUUAUAAUCGACCCAAUGAAGGCUUUAAGUUGGCCCAACAUAACACAAUAAAAGCUAAUUAGCCAACUUAAGUAAUAGUGAGCCUAGACUCUAUAAAUCGGAUCCAACUCAACAUGAGGUCUUGGACCGAAUUUAUUCCUAGCAAAUAAAAGAGAAAUCUAGAAAAUAAACUACUAACUAUUACUAAAAGAUUCAAUCUCUUGCAGCCCAAAACAUGGCCCAUAAGCGGCCCAUAUUUCGUAUCACGCAAACUGUACCAAAAGUUACAAACAUUAUCACAAGGAAGCCGUAGUGUCAAGGACUAGUACAAGGAAAUGGAGGUUACCAUGCUAAGAGCAAACGUCCAAGAGGACUGCGAAGCCACCAUGGCUUAGUUUCACAAUGGCUUAAGACCUGAAAUAGCUUAGAGACUCGAGUUACAACCAUAUUGAGCAAAGGCUCAAAAGUCUUGUCAAUCGUGAUUGAGCUAUGAAUUUUCUAUCCCCAACCAGGCCAAACCAGCCAAGGAGUUGAUACAAGCAAUUGGCCAAUUCAACUGCUCUAAAGCUGAAUGAUGAAUUGUCUAAGGGAGACUCAAAGACAAGUCCUAAAGUGUCUUCAAAGCCACAAAAGGGAAGGAGUCGGGACAUUAGUUGCUUUAAGUGUCAAGGAAGGGGACACAUAGCUAGUCAAUAUCCCAAUCAAUGGGUAAUGAUCAUGCUCCCCAGUGGCAAAAUAGUGUCCGAUGAUAAGGCCAAGUACAAGGGCAUGCCACCCUUGGUAGAUGAGGAGAAUGAUUCAGGCAAAAAAUGCGCUAUAGAUGAACAAGUUGGGCUGGGCUCGAACUCGUGGCAUGACAGCCAUUAACCGCCCAACUCAAGGAGGAAGAUGCACAACAUGAGAAUAUCUUCUACCCGUGAUGUCUAAUCAAGGACAAAGUGUGCAGCCAAAUAAUAGACGAAGAACGUUGUACUAACGUGGCAAGCGCAUUGAUGGUUGAGAAGUUGGAGUUAGCCACCACGGAUCACCCACGACCUUACAAGCUUCAAUGGCUCAACAAUAGUGGUGAAAUUUGUGUCUCCAAAUAGGUACUUGUUUCAUUUAAGAUUGGUAGGUACGAGGAUGAAAUCUUGUGUGAUGUAGUUCCUAUGCAUGCUAGUCAUGUUAUACUCAAUAGACCUUGGCAAUAUGAUAGGAAAAUUACUUUUGAUGAGGUUGAUAGCAAGUACACUUUUAUACAUAGACAUAGGAAAGUCACAUUAGCUCCUCUUAUACCUAAACAAGUACAUAAAAAUCAACUUAUCUUGCAAAGGGAAUUCGAGAGGGAAAAUGAAAGAAGAAAAUCAUUAGCUAAGGCCGAAAUUAAUGACCCAAAGAAUCAUAAGGAAGAUUCGGUCAAGCUAGAGAAGUUAGGGAAGAAACCAAACUUUCUUGUGAAGGCUAAGGAAGUAGAACAAGAGCGUAGUACAAAGCAGUCUUUACUCGUACUUUGUCGUAAUGAGCUUUUAUUGUCUACUAACGAGUUAGACCCAACUUUGCCAAGUAAAGUUGUUUUUCUUUUGCAGGUACAACGAGGUAUGAAGGUAGUAAACAAAUCGUGUGUUGUUCUUAGAUACCUUGAAGAGUUCCAAAGUUUCCAUGGGAUUGCAUGUAGCUACAAUCGGUUGGAGAAGAAAAACUUGUAAUUGGCUAUCCAAUCUUCAACUUCAAAAGGACAUUAUUCUUUAAUACAUUUUAGUAUUGCCUAUAAUUUGUUUCCAUUCACCUUGAUCAAGUAUUGGAAAACCUUUGUUAAUUUCCUACAAUUUUGAUCAUUCAUUCAUUGCUUUGUGUAUUGUAGGGGUUGAUGUUCGUCAUUCGCUUACAUGGAAGUUCAUGGAGGGUUACCAACCUUUGGGUGACAUCUACGCAGUUAAAGGAGCCCAAGAUGAUGUAUUGUUUGCUGCCUAUGAAGGACUUGAAUUUUUGAGCAAUAAGAAGAUCCAUAAUUUCUAUUUUGCCAAAGUUAAGCAGCCGUCAAUGUUCAAGCCACAUCAACUAAGUGGCCAUUCAUUGGAGUCUGCGAUCCACAAUGAUCAUUGUUUCACCCAAUUCUUGUGCGUGGAGUAUAAAUUGACCAAACACCACACGAGUUGUCUUGUAUGUGUUAUAAUUUUUCCAUGCAUGGUUCAAUCUAAGUGAACCAACAUGCAAGCAGAUUUGAGACAAAUCUUUCUCAAGAGUAGGGGACUGAAGUGAACACGAAGUCCUAAGUGUGGAGCCAUUUCUUCACUAAUUCCUCGCUCAAGGGGCUAUCCAACUCGUUUGGAAGAAAGAGAUUCAAGGUCGAAAUUUCCAACUCAAGUUUCAUUAGUUUUGUCUUAUUUACGGCCGAAUGUAUGGAGCUUAUAGUCUCGUUUAUUUAGUCAUUAAUGAGUCAUUGUUUGGUUUGCAUUUUAAGCUAAUACAUGGACCAACUAAUAGAGCUUGGAUCUAGCUUUUCAAGUAGGGUUUAUGGGCGUUAUAAGAGGUCCGGUCUGUGAGGAUCCGAAAAUUUUCUUAUUUUCGUCAUAUAUUACUGGUUUAUUUAAAUAGUUAUUCACUCAUUUUCUCCGAAUUAUUUAAUUCGACUACUUAAAAUCCAUUUAUAUGGAAAAACGCCUCUCUUAUGUUUUUAAAGCGCUUUGUUAGAAAAUUUACUUUUCGAAAACUCGUUUAGUUCGGAACAACGAGUACAUGUUUUUCGAGACUAUAUUUGAAUCGAGAGUAUAUUAAUUUUGGAGAAGUAAGAAUGAUCAAUAGUAGAUUAAGAAAAGUUAAUUUGAGAUUUGAGGAGUUAAAACUCGACUCAUGUGAGGACUCGCAAAAUUUAUUAUUUUAAAUUCCAUUUCGAGUUUAUUUAAAUAUUUAAUUGCCUAUUUACUCCGAAUAUUAUUUUCUAACCUAUUUAGACCUAAUUACAUGAGUCUAUAGCUUAAUUAUAUUUUUAAAGUGACUUGUUUCAAAAGUUAAUUUUUGAAAGCUCGUAAAGUGAGAAUAGUGAAUACGCAAUUGGAAAUAAUAAUCGAUUCGAGAAUACAAUAAGCUUGAAAAAUUGGAGACUUGCACAUUAGUCUUGAAAUAGGUAUUUUUAUGUUUAAGUAUUCAAUUAUUAGUUAGUGAUAAUAUCGUUAUAAGAAAUUCUUAAAAAUUUUACUUUAUCGCGUACAAAUCGGAAGUACGCGUUUUUACGCGCGCGAUUAAUUAAGGGACUUUAGACCCUUAUUUUGGGACAAUUAAGAGUGAAUAAUAUUAAUAUGAAUACAAGUGCAUUAGAGGUUUAGUGCACAAGUGAAACAAAAUCGAGAGGAAUCGAGCAUGAAACGCGCGCAUACGCGCACUAUUCUUAGUCGAAUUUUGGAGCAAUUUUGGUCACACAUUCUUAAGCUUCUCAUGGAAGCAUCACACCAGAUCAAAACCCUUCUUUUCUCACCUCAAGUGCACGGCUGAAACUCUCAUUUUCUCACCUCAAGAACCAGCCAAAACAAGAAAGAAAAGAAAGGAAAGAAAACUCUUUAUAUCUAUCUCAAAUCUUCCACCAAAUCACACCAAAAUUUAACCACACUUAGCUAAUCACUUGGAGACCACCUCAAGCUAGGAAAGAGGGCUGCUUUCACGAUUUUUCUUGGGCUAAGGAGGACCAAAAAUUUCUGCUUAGUUCAUCAAAAGAGGUAAUGGACGAUUAUACCUUCAAACCUUGAUUUAUGGAGGUAGUAGUGCACAUAUAAGCUCAUGCAUGCAUGUGGGUAGCUUUAUUUAUGUUGAAUUUUGGUGUGUGGGCUCUAUGAACUCCCACAAUGACUUGAGGACUGAUUUCAAGAGCUUUGAUGUUAUUAAUGUUGGUUUAGUACCUAAAUUAGUGGAAAUAAGUUGUAUUGAUGAAAGGAAACUCAAAGGUGGUGAAGAGCAAAAAUAUUCCAAAUCUGCCCCUAUCAUUUUCGUGUGCUUUUGAGCACUUUUCAGUGGUCCAAAUAACUUGUUUCUGAUUUAUAUAUUAAUAUAAGUUGUGUACGAAGUUUCAUCAAAAAAAUUCGUGAUUUGGUUGGCCAAAUGUUGUGAUUUCAGAAAUCAGUAAAACUGGAAAUUUUUCCUGUAACUGCUCUGGCCGUGUUUUUGUUUUGGCUAUAACUUUUUGCUCCAAUGUCGAAAUCGAGUGCCAUUUGUGGCACUGGAAACUAGACAUUCCCGGCUUUCCAAUGGUAUAAAAUAAACAUCUGGUUCCACUUGAUUCGACCAUACCAAUCAUUUGAACAUGACUGUCCUGUUUCGCGUUUACACUGGGAGCUCUGUUUUGAGCAGCGAAUUGGUGCCCAAAUAUGAGCUAGCCGUGGAUAGAUUUUGGGAAAAGUUUCUUCUCAGAAAUUAUAUCUUUAAGAAUCCAGUUUUCGACGCCACAAACCAUGCUCAAUUCUGGGUUGAAUUGAGUGAUUUAUGACCAGAUUUCGAAACUGACUUUGUGGGAGAAAACUCUCAUGUUGGACAGAUUUGUAACCAAUCUUGAUUUGAAACUUGCUUUUCGAAAUUCUUGGUGUAAAUCACCUACCAAAUGUAUCUUAGAUCCUUGUUAGACCUGGUUAUCAUAAAUGAGACAUGUUUUAGGCAUUUUAUUGGCCAAAGGUUUGAGAAAAAGAAAACUAGUGGUGUAUGGCAGCUUUGCCUUGGAGAUUUAGAAACUUUGAUGGUUUUGUUAACCAACUUCCCGAAUGAAUUUUCCUAUGAAAUUUGGUAUAUGGUAGGAUAAUACUACCAAACUUGGUGCCAUUCCGAUUCCAUUUCGAUGUUUAACCAAAGUCCCAACGUUCGUGAAUAAAAUCUGGAAUUUGGCCUAACGGUCUCAUUUUUUAGCAACUUUGAGCCACCAUAUCUUGGCGCUCGAAACUCCAAUUCUUGUUCCUCUUUUUGUGUUAAAAAUUUUGAUUGUAAAUCUAAUUGAGUUCCAAAUUUCAGAGGCUAGUUCGAAUUGUAUGAAUUUUGCCGAAUUUUCAAACUUUGUCGAAAAUCAACCCAAAUCUGUCUUGACUUUCUAAAACAGCAACUUUGGGUUAAAUUUCGAAUAUCUUCCAAUUGGAAUCAUGGAAAAGUGUCUUCUAGGAACUUUUAGUACUUUGGAAGAAGUUUCCAAUGGCACCAAGUUUUCCAAUUUUGGACUUAUAGACAAUGAGAUACGAUUUUUCAAAGUAUGGGUGACAAAUCUGAAAUUUCCGAACUUAAAGGAAAUUGAGGGUUGCAAACUCUUUAUUUUCCUUCGAUAUUGCUAAACCGUUUUACACUUGAUUUCAAAGAUGAAAAUCAGAUUUUUCUUGUGUUUUAAAACUCCAUUUUCGAGCUUCAAUGUACGAGUAAUUAAGGCUCAUUUUCGUGAAAUUUUCUUAGAUUGUACAAGUGUGCAAUCUUCCUCGAUAAUUAGGGGUUUUAAGCGAUAGUGUGUAAUAGACAAUUACUAUUUGCUCAGGUGCUCAAGGAGACCUUCAAGAGGAUCUCGAGGGGAAUACCUAAAGGCUCGUUUACGUACUUACUCCCUUGUUUCGAUUGGUGAGUGUCAAGUGCAUGAAUUUGUUGCUAAGUGGUUAAUUGUUUCUUAUCCGUUAUGUGAAUUUGAAAUUUUGUGACGAGUGUGUACUAUACCGCACUCGUUCUCUUUCAAAUGAAAUUAUAUUCGUAUUUUGCUAUGUGAAUGCAUAUCCGACUUGUACAUAGUAAUGUGGAUAUGAUUCGUAUAUAUGAUUCGUUUUUGUGAUUCCUUUUUGGAAUCGUCAAUUAGAGCGUUGCUCAUUGACUUAUAUUCGUAUUCGUAUUCGUAUUUGUAUUCGGGGGAUGCCCAAACUCGUUGGUUAACUUUGCGAAUCGAGUCAGCAUGGGCUUGGUCAAUAAGCUUAGCAAACCAUGAGAUAUUUGUAAAGCAUGAUCUAUUGGAGAGAUCUUGCUCGGCAUACUCGCGUAGUACUGCCAUGAUAUACUCGAGUAUUAUCAAAAAUUUGAUGAGCGGGCCCGGUAAGGGGGUGUAACAGUGACGGGAUUCGAAAAAAAGUGGUGUAUCUACGGAUUUGAUACUUAUGUGGUUGACGGAGUGUCAACAUGAGUUGUGAUCAAGACUUUAACUCGACUACGUGGAAUUUAGCUCCUGAGAGCUACAGUAUCCUUGAAUUGUUUCUGCUUAUUUUUCCUAUUCGAAAUGUGAAUUAUUCGAACUUGAUAGCUUUACUUACAAUGUAAUUGUUGUUACUACUUGGAUUAUGUGUUUGCAUGUGUGUUUCUUGGCCUCACUGAGUAUUGGCUCAUCCCAUUAGUUUGUUUUUCUUAACAGGAAUGGAGGAAAUGAACUUCGGAGGAACCCCUUUUGAUGUAUUUUGGUAUUAGGGUUCAAAUGUUUUGGCUGGACUUGUGAUUGUUGUAUAGUUUGGUUAACUGAUGUAUUUUGAACUCGUGGUGUGAGCCUUGGAUGGUUGAUUAUGGAAGCGACUUUUCUUUAUUUGGCUCAUAUUAAUUGUUAUGUAUCGAUAAGUUUGAAUCGAUUUGUCUUGAGUCCUGGUGAGAGCUGGGCAGGCGUCCCGCGGAUACCCUUGGGUUCGCCCUUGGGAGAAGUGGGGGCGUCACACGGUCCGUGUGUCUUUUGCUAUCCUAGUUUCGUUAGGAGUUUGUGUCAAGAAACAUAUAUGUGCUGUUUUUCUCUUUCAAUGAGAGAUACGACAUUUUUAUAGAAUUAAUUCUUGAGAGAUUGCUUUCUUGGCUCUACUAGCUUUUCUUGAACACCUAGAGUCGUCUUCGUGUUCACUCGGCUAAUUAAUCAAGUUCAUCACCCUUGACUGUGGCACCUACUAUAUUUCCUAGGGCUCGCUAGUUCGUUUGAUUGUGGAUCAAAAUUGUAUCAAGGUUCGUAAUCACGGGGGUUAAAGGGAUGCGUGUAGGAAUUCCGCCAAUUCAAACUUGUGUCAAUCACCAUCGAUCCGGCGUUUGUGUGAUCAUGAAUUUCGUCUUCAACGGGUUCGUAUCAAGUGAUAAUCAACUAGAGAAGGUAAUCAACUUCGGAUUUAAGGGCAAGUAGCCCAUACGCCCAAAUUAUAAUGAGUGACUAGAAAUUGUCCAUAACUUGGGAAGAAGAUAUGGACUGUAAUGCUUCCACUUUCCAUCUUUUAAUUUAUUUUUAUUGCUUAAGUUGUAUGUUGUUUAGUAUGCGAUAUAAUUACUAAAGCAUAUCAAAAUAGAAGUUGUGAUUUGAUCUGGUAUUUGGGAAAAGAUAGCAUCAGGUUAAAGGAAAAGAUAGCAGCAAGUUAAAGGUCGGGAAAGAAAAAACAUUUCAGGGUGUAAUUGAAAUUUCACAUUAAGGUCUUAGAAGGUUUUUAUAGUCAAUAUUAACGCACGAUAUAAGUAUCCUAGUUGUUGUGAUUAACUGUUUACCCACCAAGCCAUCACCAUAUGAAACAAAAAUGGAACUAUCAAAAUGGUUAAUUGGCAUAACCUCCAUAAUAAUAAAGUUGUAACCUGUCCAAUCAAGACACCGUAUAUAUCUACUAGUGCAAUUCUUCAUAAAUUGCUUUAAGUCUGAAGGUUGAGGAGGGCUAUGAUCGAUAGAUGAUGAUUGAGGGCUAAGCAUUUUUGUGCAAGACUAAUAAUCAAACAGGUAAUCUGACUUGAUAAAUAUAAUUUUAAUCAUUAAUAUUGUAUGAAAAAAAGAAACAAGUAAUAAGUAGGAAAGAAUGCAUGAAAAAGCUUAAAGUGGCCAAAUUUCAAUUCAACAAUCUAUUAUGGGCAAGUCAAAGUUACCAAAGAAUAUCAUGUCUUUGUCAUGAACUUUGCUACGAUUCAAUACCAUGCCUCAGCAAAGAAUGAAGGCGAAGUAAAAAGCUAUAAAGUUGGUAUAAUUCAUUAAAGAACAAAAUUGAAGAUGAGAACUUAGAAAUAAAGGGCAUUUCCAUUUACUCGAUCAUGAUAUUCUAGUAACAAAACAUUGCAUGUAAUGCAAGCGGUUCAUAUGAACCAUGCAAUUAUUUCAAAUCGGACUUGGGUACAUAGCCUUACUCAUGUAUUCUAUCUUUCUGGAAAAAUUAUAGGCUCUUUUCAAUUGAUUUUCUUUCUAUAAUUGAUUGAAGAAAGAUUAGCAUAGUAUAUUUUGAUCCAUCCUUCGAUGAUUCAGACCUCCUUCUUCCGUUGUAUGGCUAACCACUUCGGAUCCAUAUUGGUUUGGUGGAUAUAAGUCUAAGCCGUGAUGCCCUGAAAAGUGAAAAUAAAUUUUUGUACAUACAAAGGGAUUUUAUUAAAUAGAACUGAAUAUACACAAGAGCAGAGCAUUCUAUUACACAAAAGUAUUCCUGCAUCCAAUUAAGCUACAUAAUAGUACUGCUACAAUCAACAAAACUACGGUUAUGCUAUCAACAUUUAAGAAAAAUUUCUUCGGAAAAAUCUCAACUAAGGCAAAAUAACCAGUUGUCUCUUGGACUCGAUAGAUUCCUCCAUUCAGCCACAUUGCAACAAACUGUCGUGCCCCAUUUUUAAAAUGAAAAAUAACAUGUCUGAAAAAAUGGAUUUUGGUUUAAUUUUUUAUUUGAAAAAGAUGAGUUUUUGGUUUUUUAUGAAAUAAAUACAAGAAAAUGGGCCAAAAUGGGACUAAAAAGUGCGAAAAUUUUGACCAAAAAAUAAUAGUUUAAAAAGGGUUUUUAAUGAAAAAUAGGAGUUGUCACUUGGUAUUGAGUUAAGGUGUACCAAGUCACCUAAAAUGAAUUUUGAAUAAAAAAUUAGAAAAACCCUUUUUAAACGACUCCGAGUCUUCGAAAAUUAGAGAAAAGUGUUCGGGAGUCACAUUUGAAGAAAGGGAAGGCAAUGAUAAAAUUCAAGGCACCCUUUCAAUCUAACAAAGGCUAGUUGCAUGAUUUAGUCAAAAAAAUUUUCUUAUUUUAACCUAAAAACUUAUCACAUUUGGAUGUCACUAUAUGGAUGCAAAACCUAAUUAAACCUAGGAGGAUAUCGGGGGGUCGGAAUAUCACUUCAAAGUUUAAUUGGUGCAAAUCACAUUAACUGUGAUGCCCAAGUUGACUCUUUGAAGAGGUCACGAAUAUGCAAAAAUAUAAAACUCGAAAGAAAGAAAAGAAAGUAAUAAUAUACAAAUAUACAUGACCUAAAAGGAAUGCAUCAUAACGGGUGCGGGGAACUAAUAUUCGUGAUUUCAAUUUUCCCUUUAAUAGAGGGAAUACGAGCAUGUUAAGGCUAUAAAAGUCACACUCAUUCAUAUCCCAUAUUCAAGGGGUAUUUCUCCUAUCUAAUCAUGUAAAUGUACUAACCUAGUUCUAAUUCUUAAAUGGAAUGCAAGUCUGAUGUCAUGUGUCACACGUAGGGGUAAGGAAUAUAUAUGAAAAAUAUGGGGUAAGGGAUAUAUACAUAAGGAAAAUAUGGGAUAAGGGAUAUACAUACAAGGGAAAUAUGUCAUGCAAAAUGAAAAAAAACCCUAAAAACAGAAAAUAUGCAUGGAAAUGUAGUGAUUGCCACACAAACAUUAUCUAACGCGUGGAUGGCCCAUAAGGGUCUAGCGUUGGACUAAUCCAUGUCUAUAAACUCCUACAAGCGUUGGACUAACUCCUGAGAGCUCCUGUAUCCUUAUUAAAUGUGUUAAUGUUAUUUAUGAGUUAUUUGAACUUCCUUGUUUCAUUUCUCGUACAAAUGCCAUUGUUACGUGAACUAUGUGUUUGCAUGUUUUCUUGGCCUCACAGAGUUUCAGCUCAUCCUAUUAGUUUUAUUUUCCUUAAUAGGAGCUUAGAAUGGAAAGAAUUUUGGAGAAGCCGGUUUGAUUACUUUUGAUUAGUAUUUUUGGGAUGUGAUUGAUUAGCCGACUUCUAGUGGUUGUAUUUUGGGGAAAGUUGAUGUAUUUUUGAUAACUUAUGAUGUAAGAUUUGAAAGUUUAUUUAAGGAAGUGACUUUUCCUACUUCGACUGUUAUUCUUUGGUUGUGCAUCUUUAAGCUUGAACUGAAAUUGUAUCGAGUCCUGGCGAGAGUUUGGCAGGCCUUCUGCAGAUACCCUUAGGUUCGCCCUUGGGAGAAGUGGGGGCGUCACAGGAGCACUCACCAACGAUUAGUGUUUAGCAAAAUCAAGUUUAGGCUUAGCUUCUUGGCCGGAUUCUAAAUUUGCGAUCAAAUGUUGAAUAACAAAAUACAAUCAAGUAGGGUUUCCGAAUAUCCAACCCUCACUCGUGAAUAUCACAAGGAGAUCAUGUGAAUAGAACUUAUAUGCAUAGACUUCAUAAGCUUAGUAACCCUAGGUAAAAUACAUGCACACUUGCUUUUGUUUUGGAAAGAAAACGAUUAGAACUUUUAAGUUUAAAACAUGACAUACACGACUAAAAAUCAUGUUUAAAAUGAUCAUUACUUUCACCAUGAAAAAUGUAUGGAUUUUAGUAAAAUUUCAGCUUAGGUGUCACUACUAAAGUAGACUCAAGCAUCCCUAAGCAAACUAAGUCCAAAUCGACCUAAAAUCGCAGCUCCAAUAUCAAUUUCACUCGCUUGAACCACAAGACAAAAAAAGGGACAGCACCUCCCCUGUUUUUUCCUUAAUUUCCAGCCAUUUUCAAGGCUACAAUUUCAUCACCAAACAGUCCCAAAUCAAGUUCACAAGUUAUAGGAAACAUAGAGUUCUUAUCUUAGGUUACCAAACUCACUAAUUUAAGCAUAUACAUAUCAAAUAACCAUCAUAUACUCAAGCUGGAAAAAUUAAACCCUUGGCUGAAAAUUUAGAAUGAAAGCUGGAAAUUCCUACACCCAAGUUAAAAAUCACAUUUCAAAGCUUACUAAGUUAUAUCAAAGCUAAAGAGUCCCAUAUGAAAGCUGAAAAACUCAUAUACAUAAUAAAUCCAUGAUCCAAGUAUGAAAUGGAGUGCAAGUAAUCGAGAAAGUUAGGUUUUAAAACCAAAAAAUAUUUCCAAGACCCUUCCAAGUUUUUUUGUCAUUUCAAAAGAAAAAUUCCAAUUUUUGUAACGCUCUUUGAAAAGUCAUAACUUGAGUUUCGUGAGUCUAAAAAUCAUAAAUCUUUUACUGUUAGAAAAUAGACUCAAAAUUCUACAACUCUCUAGAAGACAUUUUCAUAAAAUUCAGCCCAUAAAUUAGUCAAAUCUCAGCCUCAAUUCACUGCUCAACUAAGUGCAAAAACACGACAGUCUUGGAUUUUCAGCUCAUUUUAAAAUUUUGCUGGUAUUUAUAGAAAGUGAACCAAACCACGCAUUUUACAUGGUUAAAAGAGCUAUGAGUCUAGUUUCAAAUACAACAAACGGAGCUCAAUUCAGAUUUUUCUACACUAAGAUGUAACAGAUUUCCCAAGACUGCUUAGAGUCUCCUGCGGGAAAAAUUUUCAGCACACUAAUAGUUUGGAAAACUAGGUUUUUCCCCUCUUAAACUUCUUUGUUUUGGCUCAAAUCAACUAAUAUAUGAAGAGCAAGGUUUAACAAAUGUCUUUAACAAGAGUACGUUAAAAUCACCACAAAAUUUCUGAAAAGAAAGCUGGAAUUCCUUCUCUCCUUCUCGGACAGCCAUAACAAAAAUUUUCCAGCACUAUCUCCAUAAAAAAUUCGAACUUUCUUAGUUAUUUCCAUGGCAAAUGCACUAUAUCUUAUAACUAACAUUUCAUGAGGCUUAUGACAUAUGUUCUUGGCAAGAAAAUCCAUUACAACUCCACAUAUAUAUAAAGUUUCAAGUAACUACAUCAAGGCUGGAAUUUUGCCUCUCAAAGCUGGAAAUUGUAUAAGCUAUAAAUCUCCUGUUAAAGCUGAAAAAUCACAUAUUGAACCUAGAGAAUUCAUAUCAAGGAUAGAAAACCUCAUAUCAAAGCUACAAAAGCCCAUAUUAAAGCUGGAAAAUUCAUCUCAAGGCUGAAAAUUGAACAUUGAACUGGAAAUUGACCAUACCCUAGCAACAACUUCACCAAAACCUAGCAAAACCAUGAAACCUUCCAUGAAAUCCUCCAAUAUCAAGUCAUAUGUGGAUUAAAUUGCAAAGUAAGAAGAAAAGGACGAGUUUCUUAGUAUAAUACCUCAAAACCCCAAGAUAAGAUGCAAGACAAAAGGUUUCUUCCUCAAAUAACUUCACCACAAGCUCUCUUCUAAACUUGAUGCAAGAUUUGUCGAAGUAGAUUUGAGUUUUCUUUUGUUUUUCCUCACUAAUUGGACAAGAAUCAAGGCUUGAACUUGGAGCUUUUCUCUCCCUUUCUCUCCUCACGUUUUUGGCCAAGACAAGCAAAAAGAGAAGAUGAUUUGGCUGAUAUAAAACUUGGUUGAUCAUAUAAAGACUUGAUCUUGAUCAACUUUGCAUGGAUGAUAGACAUUUGGCAAGAAAAGAAGUAAUAUCUAUCCAUUUAGCUUCCUAACAUCCAAAUGCUCCAAUUAGCUUGUAACAACUCUUGUCACAUAAUUUUUUUUUUCACAAAACUCAUUCUAAUCCUCCAAUUUAUGAUACACACUUCACUAAUCGGUCACACUAGUAUUAUGCACUAUGAGACUUAACAUGUAUCACAUAAAAAAUGCACCAAGUAAAAUAAGAAAUAGGUUAAAAUCAUGAUUCAACUAUUAAAACAACCAAGAAUUCAAGGCAAGUAAAUGAAAUCAAAGAAAAUAUGUAACUAACUAUCGGGUCACAACACAACUUGCAAACAUCUAAAAGUGAUAAAAAAUGAACAAAACCUUUUUUUUCUUGGUCAAAGUUAGGGUUUGAAAUCUCUUGUAUUAAAAUCUCUUUCUUGCCAUAAAUAUCUCGUGCCACAAAACGUUAGACAAUCAAUUAAAAGAAGCAAUAAGGUACAACUGUCUGUUAUCAUUUGCUAUAUAUAUACAAGCAAGUAAGCCAAAAUAAAAGGUAUGAAAAUUUUGGGUCCUCACAGAGUGGAUUGAAAUUAAUUGAUCUCUUAUGCAUAUAAGACUGUGUUUCUAGUAAAUUCACUUCAAGUGGAUUUUCUUUCAACAAAAUCUUCCCUUAAAUUCUUGCACGUGUAUAUUAAAUCCACCUCAGUCUUGAUUGAAUGGUUCAGUAUGAGUGUUGUACCAAGAAAAUCAGCAACAUUUAUUUAGCAUCUUUGUGAAGAUUAAAGCUACAACAGUACUAUUGCAUACUGAAUAAAGUAGAAACAAAAGUACAAGCAUUGUGGUUUAAAUACGAAACCAUUUUUUUUUUGCUCUGACUAGAUUCCUUAUGAGGCGUAUGCCUAGGUUGCAUUUUGGGAGGAAAGAUCUUUUGGAAUUUUUUGGGAGAAUAUUCCCUUAACACAUUUCCCUACCAUUUUUUUACCUCACAUGCAUUACAUCUCAAGACAAUAUUGGUGUUGUUUUUCUUAGAAAAAAAAAACUCCAAUAACUCAUAAAGCGCAAUCCAGGUGGGAGCUUAGAAACCCUUAACAAAAUCCAAAAUCUCUAUUUACCUAAACAGGAUUAAAGCCUACAAAAGAGAGAAACAUAAGGAACUAUCUAUGCCCUUUUGGCACUAGAGGAAUUGUGAUCUCAUGCAGCCGAUAUUGGGUGCAAGGAGACAAACUGUUUGGGAUCUGACACUAAUGUUAUGCGUAAGUUUCUUGAAUGCUGAUCCGCUUUUUUUUUUUUUUUGGUUCUGGAGUGGAUAAGUUUAUUGAUUUUACUUCCUUUGGGUUGACCUAGGAUGCCCUUUCAUUGAGCAUGUUAUCUGUUUUUCGAGGUUUGAUUAGGUCAAGCUAAAGUUUUGUAUUGUGUAUUUUUUCUGAUGAUCUUGAUUGAUAUAUAAAUCCUAUUUUGGUUUAAUUGUGUUUAGACACCAUGCAGUGUUUGGAGCAAUUUAGCAUUUUCAGCGUACCUCUUGCUUCAAAUGAAAAUUAAGGUAAUAAAGAGGUAACUGCAUAGCCUUCAACUUAGGAAUUAUUUCUUUAUUGUUUAAGUUCGAAAGUCAGUCAGACAGUAUUCAUGAGACUCUAUAGUCCUACAAGGGGCUGGAACAGAUUUUGAUUUCUAGUUCACUUUGUUAUUUCUGGGGCUGGUACUUCAUGUGACUGGUGCCAUGCAGCUCAACUAAACAGAAUUUCCAAUGUCAACGGAAGUAAAUGAGUUUAGAAUUAUUAAUUCUGAUAAGAAAAUAGUAAAAGCUACUUAUUAAUAGAAGCUAAAGAAGAUAAGAAAAUAAAGAAAUGGGGGCAGUGUGACGCCCCGAAAAAAAAUGAGUUUGAGAACCCGGAAAUUUUUUUAAUUUUCUAGGGUUUAUUUUUUAUUAUUUUUUUUAAUCGCCCGCCUUUUCUACAUUUUCUUGAUUAGAAAAAUUCCCCAGAUAAAAUUUAUGAGCAAAGAUAGUUUUAAAAUGAUUUUUCUAGUAUCGGUUAGUUUUUGAGAAAUUAAGAGCGUAUUUUGAACGUGGGACCCGCAAGUGCGGUAAAUGCAUUAUAUUUUUGACAACUUGUUGAAAUUUUGUAUUAAGUGAUAUUAUUUUACAAAGUGUUAAGAUAUUUGUAUUGGAGAGACAAAAAGAUAAGAUUAAAACCCUAAAGGACCAUUUGUCACAAAACCAUUGGACCUUGACUUUUGACCAAGACUUUUCUAACUUUACUAAAACCAAUUUGGACCCAAUUUCUCUCCAUUUUAGCUUGUCUCGGACGAAAUUUUGAGAGAAAAAGAGAGAGAAAAUCCAUCAUCUUGCACUUCAAUUUCUUGUCCAAAUCUUGAGUUCCAACCGAUUAAAUUGCAAAUCACUCCAUAAAACUUGCUAGCUAAGGAAGAUUGAAGCUCUUGGUGGAGUUGUUUUGGAAGAAAAAUCCCUAAGUCAUCACCUUUCUUGAUAUUUGAAGGUAUCAUGUCUAGCCAUCCUUUCUUUGUUCUUGAUUAUGCUAAAUUAGAGACUUGUGAUGGCUAAAGAGAUGGUUUGAUGGAUUAUAUUUUGAGUUGUGGUUGGAUGGAUGAACUUUUAUUAUUUUUGGGGAUUUUUCUGUUUUAAUAUGAGUAUGAUUAUGUGGUUAUGUAUGAUGAUUGGAAAUGAUGUUUAAUGACUCUAGGAGGUGGAAAAAGUGAUUAAUUGCAACCAAUUUCUGUUUUGGACCAAAAAUUGAAAAGUGAGGGUUUUGUGAUGAACAUUCUGUCCGAAUUUUUAGGUCCUAGAUAGAGGCCGAAUUGGCCUUUGCUUAAAACAUGAAAGUUGUAGGGAAUGACAUUUUAGAGCUGCCUACAACAUUUCAGGUCAAUCGGAGUAGUGUGGAAUGAGAUAAGUCGAAAUUACUAUUGCUGUUCUGGGUUACCCAGAAUUGGAAAUCUGCGACUGUAAUUGGUUGUUUUCGCUGGAAUUUAUUCCGAAUUGGUUAUUGAGGUAUUCUGAUGAAAUGUAGCCAUGUUUCGUAGCUUUCAGAUGGUUUUGGAAUUUCUGGAUUUGGACUUGUGUAGGCUGAGUUAUGAUGUUUACGCUAGAAUGCGUUUUGCAAACCUGUUUUCGUGAUUCUGGUAUAGCAUCUUGCAUUUUUGACCUGGUUACACUGGAAACUGAGUUGAGUGACCUUCUACAAUAUUGUACCCCUAUCUCUUAGCUUCGAAACGGUGGGUCUUGCACCUUCAUCCGACAAUCGUAGCGCCUUUGGUACCAUUACCGCAAAAUGACGUCAAAACCUGUUUUUCUGGUUUUGAGCUUAACUUUCAUUUCCGGACUUUUCCCUAGUUUGACUUGUACUAGUACUACUUGGAGUUUGCUGAAUGGCUAUUGGAUGAACUUGUUGUUGUGUGUGUAUCUUUGGGUUUGAAUGAGAAGAAUAAUGAAGCCAUGAUGGCUGGAAAAGUUAGCAAAUUCAGGGGAAGUGCUGUCCGAACUUUGAAGGGACUUGAUUGCAUUGAGUUUGUGAUCUAAGACUUGGAUUUGAGCAAGACAGUGAUAUAUGAUGGUUGGUUCCUGAGCCGUGGAGGUGAGUGACCUCAAACUACUUCUAAAGUUAUUUAUGAACCGUUUCUUACAUUAUUUACUUUUGAACUGUUUCCAAAGUUACUUUUGAAAUGUUUUCUUGCAUAUCAUGUGUGCUGGCAUUUGAGUGUGCCUUGUUUGCUAUAUUUCUUGACUUCAUGACUUGUAUUUUGGUUGAUAACGUGUUAAGCGCUUAUAAUGAUUUCCAAAACGAGUUUUCGAGGCGAGUGUGUACUUUAUCGCACUCGACCUCGAUAAAUGUGAAAUUUUCAAUUGAAAUGUUACUUGCGCAUGAAUGUAAGCCUCUUGGACUGAACUGGCCAUUGCCCCUUGUUACCGGUCGUCUUGAGCCAGAAGCGGACUCGGUCAGGCGAUUAGGAACUUGGGUGAACGUUUGGUAUACUCGAGUAUUACCUAAGUAUGUUGGUGGAGCCUGGCCAAAAGCCAGGGACGGGGUGAAUGAAAUGAAAUGAAUGACCAAAUGAGCGGGAAAAUGUCAGGAGAAUGAAUGUAUCCUUUCAUGAAUGUUACUAUCGUUUUCCAUUGUAAAUGUUUCUUGAAUUAUUGAUAAUCCAUAUUUACUGUUUUGCAAAUGAUGUAGUUGUUUCCGGAUUUAUCAUUUAAUUUAUGACAUCAUUGCUAUAUGACAUCAUUGAAAUGAACUAUUGUGAAACCGAUUUGAUUAAUGAUUUUCUGGUUACUCGCUGAGCUUUUAGCUCACCCCAAAAACUAUUUAUUCCCCUCCACAGGGCUCGUGGCAAAGGAAGGACUUGUAGUACUUGUGCACGUGUAUGGAUGGCCUAAACUUUGUACAAUUUUGGAUUUGGAAUUAUUUUAUGUAUAUUUGGGAUUAGUUUCCGCUGCAUUUGUGACAUGUAAUUAUUGGAGACGGAUGUGUAUUUGUGGACCAGUUGAUGUAUAUUUGAUUUUUAUAUUGUAAUUUAAUUGAGGACUGUAGUGAACGACUGAGUCCCGGCGAGAGCUGGGCAGGCGGCCUGCCGAACCCUCUGGUUCGCCUCAGGGGGAGGUGGGGCUGUCACAGGCAGCAUUAUGUAGAAUUAUUAAUUCUGAUUACGUUUUUGACUUUUGUCUAAUUUAUAAACAAAGAGAACGAUUGGCAACCAUUUACUAGCAUGUAAGAUGACUUAAUUCACAUUAUAUUUACACCAUUCAACAUAAAAGUAGAACUUCAAUAUAAGAAUAAAAUUUCAUGGAAGAUUAUGGUUAUUGGCUUGGCAACACUAACUCUAUAGGAAAAGGGUCAUUUUUCUUGACUAAGAGUUACGGUUUUAGUAUGCUUGUUUAAGGAUAUACUGCUCUACCCUGAGACACUCAAAGCUGGAUUUUCUGCGUGUUUCUCUUUGUGCAUGUGCAUUUGCAUGAUUUUUCACCAUAGUAGUGUUGGAUUAUGAAAUUUUUGAGUCAGCCAGAAGUUGCCCACUAAUUGUAUUCAUAACGUUAACUCCUGCGACGGCUAAUGGGCAGUGCACCAUUGUUGAAUAUGUAAUUAAGUUGACAUCAUUAAGGCACUUCCCGUUUCUAGUGUAGAUCACUAGUGAUGGCUUAUGGACGUAAAAUGAGUCUGAAUACAAUGAAAUCAGUAGUCUUGAGGGCCAAUAUGCAGAUGGAAAAUCAGAAGUUGAAAGUGCAAAUGGAGACGGGCCUACUAUUUUAUCUGCAAAUUUAGGGUUGGACAGGCUUAUUUCUGGUGCUAUCAGGGACAAAUCUCCGUUGAAGUUAUGGAGGACUUAUGGUGAAUUUUGGGAAUCUCAAACUGAAGGCUCUACAGUGGGCGAAGGUUCGGAACAACCUGCAGAUGAUGGUGUCCACAAAAUCAACAAAGAUGCAUCACAUGGUAGGUUUUAUAGGUCACCAAAAGAAUCACUUAAAGCAACAAUAGUUCACCAGGGCAGAAAAUGGCAUGGGCGGGUAUCUUUCCUCUGGACAAUUGUCAAAUGAAUUCUUGGAGGUUGGAGUUGGGUAGCGAAUUACACUUGGAGUUGGUUAGCGUAGAGAUGACCGAAGGUUUCUUGGAUGAGGGGGCAGCGGUAACGAUCGACGAAGAUAGCGAUGCAAGUAAUGACGAAAGGGAUAUUGUUCUGCCUCAUGUGGCUGGAAAUUUAUCUCCAAGAUCGGUGGUAGUACUAGAGCCGACUCUGAAUACUUCCAAUACGGAGUUAAACAUUAAUUCCCUUGACGAUAAUGGCAAGUUGGGUAAGAAGGCAAAGGGAAAUGGAUUACGUCCUCGAAUUCAAUCAGACAGGCAGCUCCGGUCCUCAACUAAUAUCAAUAACUCAUUUCAGGUAUUACACAAUGAUUAAUACGUUAAUGUGGAAUAUUAGAGGGGUGUCAAAAGCGCCCAAUCUGAGAAGAUUGAAAAAUAUUAUUCGCACACAUGGCUGUAGACACCAAAAUUUCAUCAUUUUUUUAUUUUAUUCGUUUAUUUUAUUUAUUUUGCUUCAUCUUACAUUUUGAGGAAAAAAACAUUUUUUAGAAAAUCAAAAAAAGAAGAAAAAUCGAAAAAAAAAAUUUAGCAUUUUUAUUUCAUUUUAGUUGAUUUUGUCUAAAUUUUUGUCUAUUUCCAUUUUGUUAAAGAAAAUCAUUUUAUUAUUAUUAUUAUUAUUGUUGUUGUUAUUAUCGUCGUUAUUAUUGUUAUUCAUUUAUUGGAAAGAAAUUCAGCUUAAAAAAAAAAACGGAAGCCACACGCCCGUGUUUCCUCCUUCAUACGAAGGAUGUAAACUGGAAAAUGAUACAGAAGCAGGGACAUCCCAUCGUUGCUCCAAGGGUUUUAGGGACCUGGGGUUUCCUAUAAAAGAAAAAAGAGCAGCAGGGACAAUGGGUAAGAGGAGUUGGCGGCUGGGCUGAGUAGGAAAAAGCAGAGGAAAGGGUUUGGAGAAAGAAACAGAGAGAGAGCUAGAGGGUAGAAAGCAUAUCUGGGCGGCGGCUGAAGACAUAACCGAGAGAGCUCUAGAUAGGAGGAUUCUGGUGACGGCGAAAAAGAAAAGAGGAGAAUCUGGUUGGCGGCUAAGAGGACAUAUCGGGUGGAUGGCUGAAAAUUUGGAGGAAAAAGAGAGUUUGGAGUGGCGGCUGAGGGUUAGAUAGAAAGCAAGAAAGGAAGAGAGAAAACUGAGGGGAAAACAAGGAAAGUGAGAGAGAUAGCUAGAGGGAAAGAGCGGAAAAGAAAGAGCUUCAAGAGUGGGGAGGAGAGAUAGAGGUGACGGCGGAAGAAGGAAAACCCACGGAGGAACAAAAAAGCUUCGGGCAGUAGCAAGAAAAGAAGACGGCUGAGGAAGCUUUAGGGUUGGGAGAUGGAAUGAGAGAAGAGACAGGAGAGAACUAGAGAGAACCGAGAGUGAAACAGAGAGAGAGGGUUUCGUGGAAGCAAAAGGAAGAAAAGAAGUUGCAGGAGGAGAGCUGAAGCAAGGAAGAAACCAGGAGGCUUCUUUUCCAGAAAUUUCAUAGAAGUCAACUCUGGCUCAUCUUCUUUGGCCUCAGCCUCGUCAAAGAAUCAUCAUCAGGUGAUUGUAAACUCUUGGUUUAAUACGGUUUUUAUAGAGUUUUGGGUCCCCUAUGCAUGAAGAUGUUCUUUUUUUUUCAAGUUUCUGUGAUUGUCAAUGCUUGAUAGUGAUGAUUGUGGAUCUGCUUGUUGAUGUUGUUGUGCUGUUGAUAAACCUGGUAGCGCCCCUUUGUUCAUUCAAAGUGAAUCUGAACCAAAGAAAUGCAAUCGAGAAUCCAUGAACAGAUCAUGUUUCCCAUAUAUGUAAUCCGAUGAACUAAAGGUCGCACCUUUGGUCCUUGUUUGUGUGUACAAGUUGGGUCUGAGAAUUCUUAGGAGUACAAACUACAAGAUUCAAUUUUGAUUGUUGGCUUGGGUUGGAAGUUUGGUACUUGUUUGGAUUUUUGGCAUGAAACCCAGAAAUUGCAGUUUAGGAAACCAGGUUUCUGCUAAGAAGAUGCAUGAACUGUCAAACCUUUUUGCCGCUGGUUUAUUGAGCUUGUUCCAUAGCUUUAUCAUGUUUACUCUUUGAUGUCUCUCUUUCCAUUGUUUUCCUUUUUUCUUCUGUCUUGUGUAUCUUGGGCAUGAGUUUUUGAAAUAAAAAGCAUCGGCUGCAUGAUUUGGCUGGGAUUUCAUUUUCCUUUCGGUUUGUGCUUGGAUAGAACCAAUAUAGGAGAGUUGUAGAAGAAUUAUUGUGAAAGAUUUGUUUGAUUGAAUGAUUGAAUUUCUAUGAUGUUUGUUGUUUAAGAUCAAAACCUCGAAGUUUGUCAUGUUAACAAAGAGAACUUGCGGUAAAAAACUAGAAAAGCUGCAGACGAAACCAGUGAAGAAAAUGGCAUGUUCCGUUCCUAUUUUGAAAUGUUCUUUGCUUGUUCGGAUGUCAAAAUUUUCUGGUUUUGUUGCUGAAGCUUUUAGUUUGAUUAAAGUCUGUGAUUUGUGGUUCAAUUAUGCAUGUCUAUCUUAAGUUUUUGCUUUCCAUCUCUGUCGCGCCCCAUUUUUUGCAAGAAAAAUAAAUAAAUGGUUUGAAAGUGAAUUUUUGAUUUGAAAAGUGAUUUUUGAUUUACAAAGAAAGUGGGUCUAAAUGGGACUUGAAAAUGCGACGAUUUGACCCAAAAUAUAGUUUAAAAAGGGUUUUUGAAAUAAAAAUCGGAGUCGCCACUUGGUAUAGAGUUAAAGUGUACCAAGUCACCUAAAAAUAAAUUUUUUAAAGGAAAAAGAUAGAAAAGAAACCCCUUUUAAAUGACUCCUAGUCUACGUAAACCAAUGAAAAAAGGUUCGGGAGUCACAUUUGACGAAGGGGAAGGCAAUGAUGAAAUCCAAGGCACCCCUUCGACCUAGCCAAGGCUAGUUGCGUGAUUUAGUCAAAGAUUUUCUUGUUUUAACCAAAACAUUUAUCACAUUUGGAUGCACUAUAUGAAUGCAAAACCUAGACCUAGGGGGACAUCGAGGGGCAAAAUUUCUCUUCAAAGUUUGAAUGGUGCCAAUCACAUUAAUAGUGAUGCCCAAUAAUGACUCUUUGGAGAGGUCACGAAUAAUGCUAAUGACGGCAAAUGAGUGGAAUGAAUGUAUGCAAUGUGAAAAUAUGAGUUUGCGUGAAGUGAAAAAGUAAUAAAAAACAAUAGUGUGUAAGUGGAAGUGUGCAAAUGGAUGUGCAAAGUAAGGUGAGUAGAGUGAUAGUAUGAAGUGCGUGUGUGCACGUGAUAGUAUAUAAAGUGUAAGUGGCAGAGUGAAAACGUGCAAAAUAAAAGUUGUGUGAAGUGAAAAUGUGGAAAAAUGGAUAGAAUAUGAAGUAAAAGUGCAUGUGAUAGUGGAUAAAUGAAAUGCAUGAAACCUAGAGGAAUGCAAGCAAGACGGGUACAGGGGACUAAUGUCCGUGACUCAAUUUUCCCUUUAAUAGAGGGAAUACGAGCGUGCUAAGGCUAGAAAAGCCAAACUCCUCCAUAUCCCAUAUCCAAGGGGUGACUCCCUAACCUAUACAAGCAAAUGAGCUAAUCUAAAUGAAAAUGUAAUCCUAAAUGUGUAAGGGAAAGGGAGUGAAGGGUCAUGCAAAAAUGUGAAAACUAAAAGGAAAGAAUGAAUAAAGAUGUAGUGAAGGCAUGCGAGUAUGUACUAGCGAGAGGGGGCCCUAUUGGGUCUAGCAUUGGACUAGCCCUUUACUAACGCUCAUUUACAAGCAUUGGACUUGUAAGAACUCGAGGGGAAGGCCAUGACUAGCAUUGGACUAGCCACGGUAACGUGCAUUCCAUCCAUCAUACACAUAUAUAAGUAACGUGCAUAACUAAAGCAAGUAAACAUGUGAGCACGUAAUUUACAUAACACAUAAGCAUGCAUAUCUAGAUGCCAAAGCCUAAGAAAGCGAUUAAACACAUAGCACCUAAGCAUGCAAAACACAUAAGGCAAUUAAGGCCCUAACUAUUACAUUUUUAGAGGGGAAGGCCUACUACAAUCUAAAAGGGGAAAUGAAAUGAAAUAAAUAGUUAAAAUAAAUCUAACUAUUACAAUUGCGGCACUCAAGUGCCUUCCCAAAUGAUCAAAAUGAACUAAAAUAAAUAUACGAAAUUAAGGCAAGUAAAGCGAACAAAUAAAUAAAUAAAAGGAAAACAUUCAAAAAGGACAUGCAAUUAACACAUAAAUCACAUAGACACAUAGGGUCAAAUAAAGUGAAAAUAAGGGAUAGAGUGUACCUCCCUUGCAAUGGUAAUCAAAUGAAGGAAAAAUUAGCUUCAAAACAAUAAAAAGGUCAAGGUACCACUUUAAUUAAGAAAAAUUAAAAGAAGUGUGCAAAUACAAAGCUCACUUGAUCACAAAGCCCCUAAAAUCAUGACUUAAGUGCAAUUGGAACAAAGCAUAGUAGUUAAUUGAAGCAAACAAGCAAUGAAGUUGUAAAAUUAAAACUACCAAGGACCAAAUUGAGGAGAUUAUUCAAUUGAUUGGGUCAUAGCAGCAUUAGUUAGAAGCCAAGGGGUCAAGAUGCAAUUUUUGAAAUUAUUCAUGCACGGCUUACGAGGAGCUUUCUUCUUCAUUGCUGGUUUUCUACUGCUACUUUAGAACUUAUUCAGACACCCUUUGCAAAUUCGAGCAAAGACCAGCAAACUCAUUAGCCAAAACCCAUUAAAAGCUUGAACACUCUUUGAUUAACACAAACCAACCGCAGGAAACAAAUCGUUGAAGAUCAAACGAGGACCCAAAUGGCAGAACGUGCAGCGACAGAGAAAACAAAACCAGCUUUCUGGUGAAUCCUAGAUGGGUUUAUCACAAGCUAACAAGUUACGGAACUUGCAAAGCAACAAAGGCAAUUAUUCACGAUCAACUUCUGACUUCUGAACGGAAUCCACCCAACCCAUCCAAUGUAUUAAACCCAGCAAGAAUUACAAAGCAAAAGCUGCAUUUUCGGAUUCAUGAAUACCAUUUCUUCUCAUUCAAACAUAGCUAAUGACUGUUGCCUUUUCCUUAACUCGGAUUUGUCGAGAUUCAAGUUCAAGUACAUACAAAAUCUAAACACUCAAGCACAUGAAAUCAAUAUUCACUGAUGUAAAGGGGAUUUUAAACAAAUGACUUGCGGGAACAUGGGGAAGGAAAAAAAAAACAGCAGAGGAUGAACCAACAAAAAAUAAAACACAGCAGCAAAAAAAAACCUCGACGUUUCUGAUCUAAAUCUAACGAUAUCUGACUGGAAAGAGAGGAGAAUAUUACCUUAAUCACGAAACGAAGCGUGAGAUGACCCAGGAAAAGGGCUCAGAUGGAUCUGCCGGAUCUUCGAAGGUGCGCCAGUGGGCUUUGGGGCUGCGGUGAUGGCAGUGGUGAUGGAGUCUCGACUUCAAUGGCUGCUGCAGCUUCCCUCCACAGCAAUUUCCCUUCCCUCGUUGCUUUCUUUUGUCAGUUGAAACCCUCUUUCAAUCUCUUCUUCCUCUCUCGUUUUUCUUUUCUCAGUUUUCCUUUUCUUUUCUCGCCUCCGCCGCCACCCGAAGCUUACUAUCUGGUUUUUCCU
RNAcentral lists this long non-coding RNA (51270 nucleotides) under Coffea arabica (coffee). RNAcentral describes it as "long non-coding RNA (CARA_LNC000527)". The record is from RNAcentral. Lineage: Eukaryota; Viridiplantae; Streptophyta; Magnoliopsida; Gentianales; Rubiaceae.